RNAcentral lists this long non-coding RNA (45895 nucleotides) under Oryza sativa (Asian cultivated rice). RNAcentral describes it as "long non-coding RNA (OSAT_LNC001293)". The stretch from base 31236 to 31439 matches the Rfam family "MIR812 microRNA precursor family". The record is from RNAcentral. Lineage: Eukaryota; Viridiplantae; Streptophyta; Magnoliopsida; Poales; Poaceae.
GAGCAAAUUCCUCCAUGACUGCUCCAAGCUCCUACGAACUUACUCCCUCCAUCCCAUUUUAAGCGCUGCUAUGAGUUUUUUUUUUCAACUUUCAUCAUCCGUCUUAUUUGAAUUUUUUUAUGAUUAGUAUUUUAUGCGUGACUUAUGUUUUUCAAUAUUUUCAUUUUUUUAAAUAAGAUGGACAAUUAAAGUUACUCAUGGCCGUGCUUAAAAUGGGACGGAGGGAGUAUAUAUUAGACCCAAGAGUAGAUAACCAGCAAACUCCAGUGAUCCAGACUGCCAUCUAUUUCUUCCCUUACAUAUUCAGUAGUUCAACAGAAAACCUGAGGCUUGAAGUUUUAGUUAAGCAGUGCAUCAGCUUACAGCAAAGGUGAUGUGGCUCCAGGAGAUGUGAAACUGUGAAAAGUAAACAUGAAUACCAUAGUGUAGGAAUGAGAAACAUCGAGAAGGAUUAGAGGAGACUCAGGGCUUAUUCGUUUCAAAGGAAUUGCAAAGGAAAAGCAUAGGGAUAAAAAUGGGUUUUAAACUACCAUUCGUUUCAUAGGAAUGAACCAUAGGAAAACUAUAGGAAAGUUUUCCAUUCCUCCAUUUUUGAAGGAAAAGCAUAGGAAAAAACAAUCCACUCUAACCUAAUAUUUGCAUUCCUUUGGUUGGCUUGCUCAACAACAUAGGAAAAAUUCUUGUAUUUUUUAAUCCAUAGGUCUGCACAUGUAUUCAUAUAGUAUUUCUACGUUUAUUCUAUUUCUACGUUUUGAAAAUGCUGUGAACCAAAUAAGCCCUCAAUGUGGCAAAUAGCAUAGCGUUGGGCAUUAAUAUCCCACAUGUAGAGUUGAGUUUAGAUAGGUUGAGGACCAGCGUAUAAACUUUUUGCAGUAAUGCCAGUUCUAGCUAGUUCAUCUGGGUUAACUUUAAAAAAAAGGGAUGGAUGGGAUUUACUACACCAUUUUAAAGGCACAUAUAUAGUAUAUAUGCUUUGAUUUCACCUACACCCCCUUCCCAGAAAACUAGCAUGAAGGCCACUCAUCAGUCUGUAGGAUCGAAUCACAAGAACUAAGCCAACCAGAGGGGGGUGAAUGGUUGGUAUACCCAAGAACCGAAAACUUUUAGCGGAAAUAAAAGUUACCCUCGAAUUCGACAGAAGUCGGUCUGACCGAGAUUGAUCUGCCAGUCUGACCGAGUGGAUGCCGCCGGUCUGACCGGUAUAGAUCACCCGGUCUGACCGCCGAUGUCGCCUGCUGCGCCUGUUGCCGCCGCCGGUCUGACUGCCGUGCUCCCGCCGGUCUGACCGCCGCUUGCCGCCGGUCUGACCGCCGGUGAGUUGCCAGUUAGACUGCCGAAACCCGGUGAAACAUAAAUCGAAGAACUCUUAAAGUAGAUGACGACUUUAUUGAUUCUCUAUGUGUUCACAAAGUGCAUCAACAUCACUCCUUACAAAAAUUUCGACUAAACUCGAAACCCUAACUAAACUAGCAACUCAAUUGCUCUCCAAAGUGAUACCAAAAAGCGAUACUGGGAAGCCUCACGCUCCCCCUCUAUUUAUACAUGAGGUAGGCAGCCUAAAACCACGAACCAAACUCAUACUAAGAGUCCUAAACACCUUAGGAAACCCUCUAGUACAAGACACAAACUUAACAUAACCAAUCGUACCAAAUUUGGACUCCUUCCAAAUUCGACUCCGCAUCCCAUACACACACAAUACUUCCACCGUAUGCCAUAUGGAAUCUUCACCAACCACGUGCAUCAACUCUAGCCUUAGUAUCCCGCAUGAUAUCUGACCACCACGGACAUCGUUUUACCACCAAGCCGACUCCCGGUCCAUCACCGCAAAUACUCUGCCGAGGCAUCGAGUCACCUACACAUGAAACAAACAAAGAAACCAUAUUCCGAGACCAAGCUAUCCUCAACUUGACUCAUUGUUAGCAAACAACAGUAUUACAUACGUAUAGUAUCCAUCUAGAAGCCAUAACCAUGAAACAAUCAUGGAUAUCCAAAGAACCAAUCCGAAACCGAAACCGACUCAGCGUUAGCCGGUCAGACCGCGGGCCUGGCCGGUCUGACCGCACACAUAGCGCCGGUCUGACCGGCAACCUCCGCCCGGUCGGACCGGACACAUAAAAUAACAGAAUCCGAUCAUCACCUGAAAAUUGAUUAUCUCCAAAACCACUUCGACGAUAAUCUCCAAAUAUCAAAACCAAUAAUCACAGAUGCCAAUUGUUCAUCACAGAAUAAGGAACAAAACACACUUUGAUCUUACACAAUCAUCACUACUCCAUCCAUCCCAUAAUGUAAGGGAUAAUGGGUAGAUGUGACACAUCAUAGUGCAAUGAAUCUGGACUAUGAUGUGUCACAUUCACCCAUUAUUCCUUAUAUUAUGGGACGGAGGGAGUACCAUUCACAUUAGCAUGAACUUAUGGACACUCAGUAGUGAACAAGUCUCUCAUGAACACCACACCUCCAUUUUCUACCCUCUCACUAGAGAGCCACAAGUACAACUAGCAGUAGUGCAUAUUAAAUGGCAUAGCCGCAUUUAAUUACUAACAAAGUGGAAGGCAAUGCAAGCUUAUAAUGAGUACAUGGAUCUCUGAAACCACAAUUACCCAAUCAGUUUCCUUUCCCCUCUUUCUACCACAAUAUCUCAUUAUCUCGGAAUGGGAUGCAUUUGGAGAAGAUAAAAGGGUAGUUCUCCCCAUUCAUGCUGCUCAAGAGGUCGUAGAAGCUCGGGAUUGUUGGUAUAGGGAUCUAAGUGAGCACCAUGCAUGAUUAACAACUAAAAAUAGCCUCCACCGGUAAUAGAUAAACAAACAUGAAGGGAGGACCCUCUAUAAGAUUAUGUCCCUACGUAGCAGUUAUAUACUUAUAUGAUCAUUGAAAUGUUGUUGCCUACCUGAUCAUGUAAGAUAUCUAAAGUUCAGUAUCCUAGAAUUAACAGGAAGCUGAUCAGAUGAAACAAAUCAAAGAAGAAAGAACCUUCUGCACAUACACAUGGUAACCCAUCACAUAUUCUGGAUUAAAUAGAUUAAUUCACGUAGACCUGAGAAAAGUUGCCAACAUGGGACUGGAGAUUGGACAUGCAUGCUCGUUAUAUCACUUUUAUUCACAAGUUCUUAUCUAGAUUUACAAAUAGAAAAAAAAGAUCAUUUUACAAAAUAAUUAUUAGCAUCCCUGAAACUUGAUGCAAGGAAAGGAACUGCUCCUAUCCACCUGUAUGAACCAAUAACUCUGUUUGAAGUACAGUCAUAAUGCUGCAAUUUCACCACGUCCCCUGCCAAUAGAAGUUCUGGAGUGAAGGCUCUCAUUAGUCAUCACUAUCCAUUUACAUUUGGAAGACCAUAAUUAUUGGCACUUGGUGGUGUGGAGUCUCCGUUGAUACUCAAAUUUGGUACUAGUUUGGAUUUAUAGCAACUUGCCAAAUUUGGAAACUAUCGAGUCUUUCCCGCGAAGGCCGGUCUGACUUCCAUUGUUUUUUUUAGGAAAACGACGGCAGGAGCUCUGCUGGAAUUUGAUUAAGAAGGAAAACAGAGUGCAAACAGAUCGGUCUGACUUCCGUUGUGUGGCCGGUCAAACCGGACAAUGAACUGCAGUCAGACCUUAGGUGUCCGCGUGGUCAGACCUUCAACACAAAGUCCGAGUCCAAUUAAGUAUUUCUCGUGUUUCCUUUUUUGAGACUAGGAUUUCUCGAAUCUUAGUUGAUUUCUAAGCCGAAUUGGACAUGAAAAUGACCCUGAGAAACAAGUCCACCCCUCCUACAAAUAUAAGGGGUCAAAACCGAUUGAAACAACAAUAAAUUAAUUAUCAAAAUCAAUUUAUUACCCAAACCCUCUAUAUUCUACAUCUUCCUCCUUCUUGCUACCUAUCCCAAAGUCUAUUCUACUCAAAUUCCCCAAUUGCUUGUCAUCCUCGUCUCUACGGCUUAGAGGACGUCCUAACUGGCCUGCCGGAGUCUAGGACAAACUGGCGCGUGUUCACCCUAACGGGGUCCCUCCUGGGUGUUCUUUUGAGCAUCCACCGCUCCUUGAGGCGGCUCGUCUCCGGGUGUGCCACUGCGGGUUGCACAUAAUGUGCUCAAUGUGUGAAGGCGCGAUUCGACGUCAACAGUCUCUAACACCGUACCUCCAUUUUCUACCCUCUCACUAGAGGGCCACUCCACACCACGUGACAAUACAACCGACUUAGUGAAUGUUAAUUGAAAGUAUAGCUGCAUUCACUAGCAAAGUGGAAGGCAAAAUGUGCAGCUUAUAAGGUGUACAUGGAUCUCUGGAACCACAACUAUAUAUCCAGUCAAGUGCUUAUCCCCUCUCUUUGCAUGACAAAUUUUACCACAAUCUUGUGACCUUGGAAUUGAACGCACUGGGAGAAGAUACAUGCAUGGGUUGUUCCCUCUAUUCUUGCCUCUCUAGAGGCCAACGAAGAUUUGGCUGGCUUGCUGGUCCAAGGAUCCAAGUUAGUACCUUGCAUGGUUGAACAAGAUCCACUUCUAAGAUAUCAAAGAACCUAACGUGAUGGUUGUUGAGUUGUGAUCCAAAUUCAUUUGCACUUAAUAAAAGCCAGCUUCUGCCCUAGUGAAGCGGAGGCUGAAGUUGGCCCAUUGGGUUGUGCACCUGGGGACGCCCGGGGGUGCGGGGGCGGAGGCCCCGCGGUACAGAUCGUAAUACCUUUUAGGGUUCCACCUCAUAUAUAUACCUCUCGUAAGCCGCCGUGCGGCGUUGUAACCUCACCCUCGAUAUAGUAAAGAUUUUUUUGCUGGCUGGCAUCCGUGGUUUUUUCUCUCCUGGUUUGGGAGGGUUUUCCACGUUAAAUCUCAUGUCUUCUGUGAUUGAUCUAUUGUUCUUUAUCGUUUGUUUGCCUAUCGCUUCCUAACAAUGGUGUGUGUCUGUAACUUUUCCGUCCUUGAGCUCAACAACAUGGAAAGUCUGUGCAUCAUUUGCAUGGGAUGAAUGACAUCUAAAAGUCAACAUCAACCAGCAACGUCCUGACAAGAAUGGAGGGACAUAAUUUGUUCUACCGAUGAUUUUAUUAUUCUAGAGGAGGUACCAUACUCUUUUAUAUCAAUUUGCAUUACCUCUUUAGACAUCUCCUGAACAAUUAGAAACAUCACCACUGCACUCCUUCAACCUUUUCACUUGCUGUUUCUACAUGAACAGAUGAAAUUCAUGAAACAGAGGGAGAGUGUUGAUUUAAGGAAAUACAGAUAUCAACAAUGAUAUGUUAUAGCCCGUAUUGGAAUGUAUGCAUGCAUAGGGAAACGGGGUAGCCAAAUGACGAUGAUCUUUACUAGGGAGCAGGGGCAUUUAGUAGACAUGGAAUGUAUUCCACUUAAUAUAAACUUUGGUUCAGAUCGAAGAUUACAAUCAUUUCCAGGAGCAACGACCCCAGAGAAUAGGUGUGCUAGCAAGUAUUUGGCAUGAACAUGUUAACCACAAUGAUGAUGUUGUGCCAUGGGAAUGGAAUGAUACACAUAUGUUGAGGAAAAGAGAGAAACCAAAGAGAAAAACAGCACGAGCAAUUCAGCAUCAGAAGCAGUCGUAGUAUAAACUAGAUAGCACUGGCUACGUUGUAUAUAUAGACAUCCAACUGAGGAGAAACAUGAACACUGUUGCUCACUGCUUAGGUGAAGUAUGAGCCUUAAUUAAUAAUUUUGAGUAAGAAAAUGCUGACAGCAUGUUGAUUAAUUUUGAAGUAUCAAAAUUUUUCGGUAUGUUGGCAUUCAAAAUUCUAAUAUUAUGGUAGACUAGUGGUCCAAUGGAGGGCACCUAUAUACCUAUAUAUACCUUCCACACAUCCAGAUUCCAGCACUAUUUAAUCAAAUACUCAUAUCUAAAGUCACAAGUCCAUCUAUAUCUGAUGGUUAUUCCGACUCUAUCUAGGGUGUAUAUAUACCAAUUUAUUUACAAGCUAGUAGCAACUCACACAAACAUGGAUCAGAUCGAGCUCAAACUACCUAAAGAUGAUGCAGAUCAACUGCCAGUGGCAUCACAAAUAUAGGCGUAGGAUGCAUUUGGGAAGGAGAAAAAGGACGUGAAACAAAGACUGCAUCGAUCACUCGCAAUCCAUAGAGCGUAGUGGCAUUGACUGACCUCACACAACCUUUUAUGCAGUAAGACACCAGAAAGAGUAGCAACGACCUGUAUGUUCAUAGUUGCAAUUUCUCAUAUACUCCAUGGAUUUAUCAGUAACUAGAUUAAAUUGUACCAAGUGAUAUUGUGGCACCAGCUAGCUAGUUUAAUAAAAAUGUUGGAAUAGUUGUAUGAUCAAUGUCAUAAUGAAAAUAAAUUCUAUGAAUUGAAAUUGAAAAAUGUACAAAGAAUAGGUAAAACAAUAGUAAGAAUGCUUGAUGGAAUGAUGGUAUUAUAAUGACUACCAUAUUAUUAUAGCUACCUAUGCUAUUUAAAUUUGAAUAGCAGAGGUAGCUUUUGAAUAGAGGUAGCUGUGUAUUAUGGGAUGGAGGUAGUAGUAAACUUUCAUUAGUACAAUUAUUAGUUACGUCUUCAGUUUCUUAAGGGAGAUUACUACCAUUGGAUGAUAUACCAAGUGUAAUAUUAUAUUAUACUAAUGAAUUUUCAUUAACGAUCUUUAGUAAUUUCAUUGUCAGAUCCAUCAAUGCCUAGACUGGAUGGACCAUAUGCUUUUUUUUUAUUUUUUCUGUACUGAAAUAUUUCGGUAUUAUGACUUGAAAUAUGUCGACAGAAAUGAACUUCACACAAUGCUCCUUACCUCCUACCAACAUAUAUAUAAGAUCCAAGAGUAGAUAACUAGAAAACUACUGUGAUCCAGACUACCAUAUAUUUCUUUCAUGAGCAUCUUUUCUAUCCUUGAGGAGAUACCACGAGGUACUAUGAGGUACGAGGCACCAUAAGGUACCAAUCUAAUCUAACCGUUGGUUUAACAGGGGUAUGAUCGGGCAAACAAAAAUAAGCUCUCCUCUCUUCCUUCUGCUGUAUCAGGUCGUCCAUGCCGGCUGUCUGCGCCGUGCCAUCGUCGCAUCGAGGCCGUCGCGCCGCCGUCACCCAUCAAGAUCGUCGCGCCGCCGUCGCCCAUCGUGGUCGUCGCGCUGCCGUCACAUCGAGGUUGUCGCGCCGCCGCCCAUCGAGGCCAUCGUGCCGCCGUCGCAUCGAGGCCGUCGCGCCGCCGUCGCAUCGAGGUUGUCGCGCCGCCGCCGUCCACCGGGGCCGUCGCGCAUCGAGCCUGCCGCCGCGGUCGCGCGAAGAUGCUUGAGCAGUAGGAAUUCUGAAGGUUGCCGUCGCGCAUCGAGCCCGCCGCCGCCGUCUCCGCCGCCGUCGCGCGAAGUUGGUUGAGCAGUAGGAAUUCUGAAGGAAGCUGAAGGUUGUCCAAUCGAAGAUGCUUGAGCAGUAGGAAUUCUGCAAGAGAUGGCAGUUUCUUCCAAUUUUUACAACCUCCCAAAUCUAGGCUGAUAAGAUUAUUCACUGAGGCUUUUGCAAUCCAGUAUGGGAUUUUAGCACCAACAUAACCUGAAAUCUUUAGGUUCUUCAGAAUAGAAUUUGGCUCAAGGUUAUCAAGAAUGAUUGAACAAUCUUCUCUGCUGUUGGUGCCAUCAUCCUCUGACCAUUCUAGAGAUAAUGAGCCGAGAUGCCGUUUUUCCUCCAGCUUCGCAUUCUUGGCUUCUUCUUCAUUCUCAAUAUUCUCUAGGUCCUUGAUAACUAGUUUACAGAGGCACUUACUGUGUAACCUUUUGCUUGUCGGACCUGAUAGUCUUCUAACAUCUCUCCUAGUUUGAUGUAUCGAAGGUGCUUUAACUUUGCCAGUUUGCCCAUAAAAUCAGAUGUAUGGAACAAUACCGUUUUAAACAGACCAUAAAAUAAAUGCAUGCAAGCAGCCCAUGCUGCAUAGGAAUUUAAUACUGAAUAGAAGGAGAUAAUCAGUUCAUAUCGGUGUUUCUUAGGUAAGAAAGAUCAUCGAUCAACGCUUAUGUUAGUUAACGUUGGUCCUAAUAUGAUCGGUUAAAAGCUGUCAAAUUUUAAUUAAAAAAUUUGGCAGAACCUCGCCAGUACUUGUGAACAUUCACGACAGGUAGUUUAUAAGCAAUCAGUCAUAAAGUCAUAAUCACAUCCAGACACAAAAUAACACAACCAACUCCAAGACUAAACAACACGACAAGUACAGAUCAAUUAUGUACUGAGAUUACAUAGUUUCAAAUUACAUAAUGUUACAUACUGACAGGCCUAAGCCUCAGAUAAGCAUACAAAAGAGAGUUACUGGCCACAUGCAAAUAUUCUUCAAUUUUGAUCAUCUAGGAUCAGCUGUGAGCCUGUGCCACAAUGGAUUGUCUGCAUGCCUUUCCUUUUCUGCUGAACAGAGAGAGAAAAAAACUGCACAAGUCAGAAAUAAAACUUCUCAUGCCUAAACAUAGCUGAAACAUUUUUAUUGAGAGAACAGAAACUAAUCUAGAAUUUGAGAGGCCAGCAUGUCGUUUCUGACAAUGCCAAGAAACGAUGAGACCGUUAAUUAUAUACCUAUAAGACAGUCAGUAAUUAUACCAUGGGCAUUCCGUCGAACGCCUUGAGUGCAAAAUAAACAAGAGAAGUUCUAUUCAACUAAGAUACAAUUUCCAUGCACACACAUGAAUUGACAAAUAGUGUGCAGUUCAUCUGCAAACAUGCAAAUGAAUAGCUAGCAAUUCGUAAUUCAUAUCUAUACACAGGAUAUAUAUUAGCAGCUGGAAAAAUCUUAACUAAUUAAGUGUAGUGCCAAAUUGCUUACCUGUUUUCAGGUCCUAUAAUAGUCCCCUAACUGAAGAUAUGCAAAUGAAAUUCUAACUGAAGAUAUAUCAAGAUUAUAUCUAACCCACAUUUUCCAUUUACUCUUGUGAUAUGAUAAAUACAACUACAAUCCAUAUAUCUCUUCAUGUUUUGUGAGUAUGCGACAUGCAACUAUAAUGCACAUACGUUUAACACAUAAAACAUUUACUAUCAAGAAUUAUUACACAUUCAAUUUGAAAUGUCCCCAUAUAGAAUCGACCCAAUGGUUCAGUCUUGUCUACAGCUGUGGUAUUGGGAUAAUUUUACUGACCUAGUGACCUUAACAGGAAGAGGAAGGGAAAACGUAGAUGAUGAACUCGGCCGUGGAGAGUCUAUGACCAGAGGAAGAAACUCGGUGGGUCAGGGCCUCAUGGGGGCACCGCAACCAUCCUAGGAAGGCGAGGGGGCGGACAAUCGGAUCGCACAGUCCCGGUAGCGCUGAGGAUAUGGUUGGUGAGGAGCAGCAUCACCGAACCGAGGCCAACACAACCCCUUACCCUCCCCCCGGUCCUCCCUGCGGAGCUCGUCGGCAUCUGGCGCCCUUGACCACGGGGGCGGCCGGAUCUGGCGACGAGGUGGCAGGAGUGGAGGCGCUAGGGAUGGGGAGGGGGAGGGUGCCAUAGGAUGCGGAGGAGCGGAGGAGACGGCAGCCAACGGCAUCGGCGUCCGCGCUCGAACGCGAAAGGAGGAGAUGGAAGCCGGCGCCCGGCAGCAUCUGUUCUUAGGCGGUUGUCGGUGAGAGAGAAGGGGAAAUCGGCGUUCGAGAGAGGCGAGGAGCCGGGGAGAUCGCUGGGUUGGGUGUUAUUGCGAAAUUACCACCUUACCCUUCCACCCAUGAAAUGCAUUCGGUACCGCCCUCGGGGAGACGCGGGUACCGAUACCAUCCAGGCCGUUGGAUCGCACGAAAUUGACGGUCAGGAUAUGGUACCUCCUUCCCUCAAGGACCGUAAAAAAUCUCUUAUUCCAUUACAUGCUCGAUCAGUAGUGAAAGAAAUCAGAGGUUAGAAGUUUAUACAGUAGUGCAUCAGCUUACCACAAAGGUGGAAUGGCUCUAGGAGAUGUGAAAAUGUGAAUAGUGAACAUGAAUGCCAUAAUGUAGGAAUGAGGUACAUCGAGGAGGAUUAGAGGAGACUCAAUGUAACAACCCAGCCGAGCAAUAAUAGUCCCACAUGUAGAGUUUAGAUUGGUUGAGCACCAGCACAUAAACCCGUGCGUUCUAACUCUGUAUGGAUUAACUCUUUUACAUAUAGCCAGAAUAGUAGAAGUAUAUAAAUUCCUCGAAAGAGCUGAGGUGUGGGCUUUUCAGAAACUAAGAUAGCAGCACCGACACUAACUUUAGUAGAGAGGUGAAGAGCCUGUAAGUUCUGUCAUUUGUGAUGAAGAAGAAAUGAUCAGAUUCUCUGUGAGCUCACAAAACCAAAAUGAGCAAGUACUUCCGGACAGUAUGCUCAUGCACCUACAGCACUUCAUUUGAACUUGUUCCACACCUUGUUUAAUAGAGUUUCUUAUUCUACUAGAAAGAGAAACCAUUGUAAAACAUCUAUAUUUUCUCACAUAGGAUCCCCCAAGGAAGAGACUAAUAUUAGAACAGAACAAUCAUGAAAGUCUUCCUCUUCAAAAAAUAUAAGGGGAGGGGGGUGUCAUUAGGAUGUGACAAAAUUUGGGGAAAAAAUACGAUGCCAUGAUAACAGAAAAGAGGAAUAAUGUUUUUAUUUUGACGGAAAAAGAGGAAUAAUGUUGGUAAUACAUGAUAAUCAUUUCAGAAAAAAAGGGAAUGUGUGCAAUACAUGUGCAUAUGUGAUUAUCAUUGACCCCUUGAACUAGUCAAAUCUAACACCAACUUUUAUAUAUGAAUUUGAACAUAACCUAUGUCUAGAUUUGUAUACAAAAGUUAAUUUAUUUUGGGAUGGACGAAGUAUAUCAAUAUUGCGAAUGUUUUCAAUCAGAGAAGUGGACAGAUAUGAACAUUUUGGUUUACACAUAAGAACAACUUAUCAUGUCGUGGUCAAUUCAUGUUUGAUGUCUAGGUCUUUUGUCUUCUGGAACAAAUUUUUAUUCCUGGUACGAAAUAGUAUCAAAUAAUUAUAAUCUUGAAACCAUCGAAUCGUGUGAAUAAAAAAAAACCAGAACUGCAGAAACACACAACGGACAUGUCUCAAAUUUCAUAAGUUAUUGAACAGAGGAGUAAAUUAUAAAUAUGAUUGAUGAUUUCUCAAACCAACAGGUGGUGAAUGUAAAAGGUGACCAUAACUCUCAGGGAAAAAAAAGCAUUCACCAACCUACCACUUAUUCAUAUCAGUUAUAAAUAACUAAACACCUGCCUUUCAUUUUUAUCAGUGCCACUUCGUUGUUUUCUUCCUUUCUACAGUUACAAGAACUAAACUUGAAGCAGUUGCCACACAUCAGUUAAAGAGCGAGGAGUAAUCUCUACCACAAAAUGCAUGGGUAUGCAACUGUGAGCUUAAUUCAUUGGUUCACACCCUCAUUUAUCUGAUCUGUUGUAGGGAUGGGAUGCAUUGAGGAAGAUAAGAAAAGGCACAACGAUAAUACCGGGAGUGUUUCAGCAUCGAUCGGUCCUGAUUCCUGACCUUCUUUCAGCAUGAAGUGCGACACUUGCAUCUCACACUAGGACAGAUGUCAUGACCUCAGACCAUGACGGAAUAACUACAGCCGGGAAGAUAGCCGGGCAGCGUCGGCUCCUGGAGAAGGGAUGUAGAUUCAGGCUAAGGAGAAGAACAUUGCUGGGAGAGAGAGAUUAGAUUAAUUGAUAUUCAUUGCUUAAUUGAUAAUAGAUACAAUCCCAUCCUUAUAUAGAUGGUACAAACUUGAUCCCUAAGUAAGAACUUAAUCUUAUCCUAUCUUAUCUCUAACUACUAACUAACUAAUAAUCUUAUCUCUAACUUGAUUGGUUUGGGCUGCCUAUAAACCUUGACCUACGGCCCAAUGCCCAUAACAUUGUGUGAGGUUCAACUCAUGAGCUCGUCAACCAAAGAGGUAGCUAACAUAGCUCACUCUAGGUUAAUGAGAAAGACGAAUUUGGAGCAGCAUAUGUUUCUUUUCCGGUUUCUUUGCAUGGGAAAUGUGAAAGAAGGUUCUGGCUGAUUUUUUUUUAUUGGCAAUGACACAACUGUUCAAAUCACUGAUGAGAUCUAGAUAUCACUAACGGCAAGAAACAUUAAAGAUUUGCCCUUCAAAUCACUGAUGAGACUAGAUAUAUCACUGUUUCAACAUUUAAAGAUCGACAGGGUUUCACAAGAGAGUAAAUAAAUAUUGUGUCGUUAGCCGCUACUAUCCUACAUUGGGUGGUAUAUUUUGGAUCAUGUGUAAUGCCGUGUUACAGGUUUUGGUAAAAAUAAAUAAAUGUUUGACAGCAAUGUGAAAAGGAUUAAAAAAUAUUAGUAAGUUGAAAAAUGUAUAUUAACAUGGAACUUCACAUCGUAGAAAAAAUAUGUUUCCAAAUAUUAAUCUCAUUGUUUUUAAAGUAUCACACUAUUAAUUUAUGGAGUUGAUGUUUGACAAUUCGUCUUAUUAAAAAUAAUUUUAGUACAUAUAUGUAAAAAUAUAAGUUAUAUUUAAGUAACUUUAGUGAUUAAACAAGUUACAACAUUACUUACCUAAUUUUUUAAUAAGAUAAAUAAUCAAAUGUCAUGUCCAAAAGUUAAUAUUAUACAUUUCAAAAUGAAGGUAGUACUAGCUUGUACAAGUGCACACACAUCUAGGUUGGCAAUUAAUAUCCUUAGUGCUGGCCAUGGCCUCUUUAUUUAGGUUUAGGCUUAUUGACUUAACCUUUUAAAUCAGUUUUUUGGCUUAUAUAAUUUAUAAGCUGGUGGAUUUAAAGUCCUAAUUUUAAGAGUGGAGUCAUACUUCUUUCUCUUGUAAGUAAAAAAAAACUUCUUCAACCUAGCUAGCUUUUAGCUUAAUAGUAUAAAAGUGGCUUAUGGUUUUAGGAAAGACAAACAAAAAAUUAUUAUUUAUUUAGGCUUAGAUAUUUUAACUCAUAAACUGACUUGUAAGUCUAAAAAAAGACCAAUGCCAAGAUAUGCUUAGGAUUUAGAACCAACGUGGCCAACAUCCACGUGGUGUUGCAUGCACAUUUCUGCUUUUCAUUGUGGAGGGUUGCCGAUAUAUGAUAUGUCACCCUUCUUGUCAAGCAAACCCAAGUAAGACACUAAUUAAGAAAUCUGGAAUUUUCCCUAAUGACAAAACCAAAAGAAAUAACAAUAUAAUAAUAAUAAUAAUAAUAAUAAUAAUAAUAAUAAUAAUAAUAAUAUACUUUUAGGUAGCACCAGCACACACAGAAUAAAAUAGCGACACAUACCCAUAAAAACUCCCGCUGCAUCUCAUGUUCUAUCCUGAUCCUCAAUCCAACACCACUUUACUAAGCAAAAGUUAUAUGCGCGAAAAUUGUUGUGUUUACGAUACACAAAAUUGCAAAACAAAGUGCUGCUGAAUUCUAUAAGAAUGGGAAGCAUUCAGAAAGCAAGAGUUUUUCCAAGAGAGGCAGUACUGCAGUAGAACAAGAGCAUAGCAGCUUGGCUCCAAGGGUAGACCCAUGGCCGAGCAGCCGAGGACACGGCAGAAUUGUGGCCAUGUCGCAUGAACAGCAUUAUUUGAUGACUCCAUAGGUUAGCCCGCUGUAAUAGUAUUUUCAUGGGCUCUAGAUGACUUCCUCGACGAGCCACUAAAAGAUAACUAGCCUCGUUUCUAGUUCAAACGAAAUGAAGGUGUAUACCGUCUUAGUUAUGAGAGGGCGUGCAUUCUCGUGGUUACAGUGAUAAUCUGAGUAGAUCGGAUAAAAAUAACCAUUCUAAAAAAAAUAAAAAAAGAAGAUGCCGUCUUAGUUCGCCAAGGAGCAGAGACAAUGUUUAAUUAUCAAUAAAAUUGUGAUGUGUGAUUUGGAAAGGGAACUACGUACCAGCCUCUUGGUAGAAUCACCACAAGUUCUCCUUUCUAGUCUUGUAGAUCUGAAAAUAGAAACUAAGGUACUCUUGACGUAAUCCAUCAAAUACUACCAAAGUUUGUAUUAACAGUGACCAGGGUUAAUUGUAACUAUAUAAGGAUGGGAACGGUUGGAAUCGUAACAUCUCUUUGGAAAGGACGCUUGGCCGAUCGAUGAUUUUUAGUAUUUAUCAAUUUAACUUGUUGAUAUCAAAACAAUGCUAAAAGAAAUUAGAGAAAUCAAAUCUCAUGUAUUGCAAAAAAUGGAAACGGUACAACUUACAAGGAAAGAACGCUCGGUCUGUCAGGAAUUUCCAUAGCAAUUUUCAUCGUUAAUUAAAACUAUGAAGUAAAAGGCAUAGUGAUUAAGAGGUAUUGUUGACUCAUUUGGUAUAAUUGUAUCAUAACAGAAAUUAUGCUUGAGCUCUUUGAACCAAAAGUUUGGUGGGUCCAUAAAUUUGGUUGAUGUUACACCUACUUUAAACAAAAAGUGCGCUGGCUGCAAUUGAGAUUUCUAUAGGCAAUUGUUGAUGUACGCUAGAAUAAACUGAAUUUGGCAUACUCUGCUGCAGAGUGAAAUUAAAUCUGCUAAAUAUGGUGCAAAGCAGUGUACAAUGUGUAAAAUGCAGUUUACUCAUCAUAUAUUCAAUAUUUUAACACAAUGGUAUAGGAGUAGUUCCUUAAUUUGUUUUUAUCAAGCGAUGGAUGGAAUUCAAUACAUCCAUUUGAGGUACAGUGAUAGUGCUACAAUUUCACUGCAUACCUUGCCAAAAAAUGCUGGAGUUAUAGCCCACUAUGGUGUAGUAGAAAGCAAUCUGAAUCACUGAUCUCAUUUGAUCGAAGGGUUUGCAUCUAUUUUUACUACCAUCCUAGUUAGCGUUAGUAGAAACAUGGAGAGACAUAUAUUUUCCAAAAUAAUAGGUGCUGAGGGGCAUAAUCGUCAUUAGCAGUAACUAAACAUUUGUUUUCCUACUUUUUUGGCUUUUUUGAUGGAUAUAUGAGUGAUGCCAGCAUAAUGAAUGACCACAAAUCAAUCUAGCCGGAAAAAAAAAGACAAAGUUAGUCAUUUUAAUAUCGAUCUAGCUUCAUUGUAUUAGUAAAUUACUAAUUUACCCUUAAUAUCAAAUAGUUUACAUCAUUUCUACUUGUACUACCAGUAGAGAGUAUUGGAGGAUCGCUUCUGGAGUUAAGGCUCUCAUAUGCCAAAAAUACCUCCAUUUCCAGAUUUCUUACCCUCUCACUGGUGAGCCUCGGUACAAAAAGCAGGAGUGCAUAUUUGGCAGUAUUGACUAACACAGUGCAAGAUAAUGUAAGCUUAUAAGGUGCACAUGGAUCUCAAAAACCACAACUAUCAAAUCAAUUUCUUUUCCCCUCACGCUGCAGGCUGCAGCACAAAUGUUACCACAAUCUCGUGAUCUUAAUUAGAAUGGGAUGCAUUAGGAGAAGAUAUAGGGGUUUUUCUCAACGCAGAAGCUUUGGCUUUCUGCUACGAGGAUCCAAGUGACUAAGUGAGCAUAAUGCAUGGUUGAUCAAACUCACCUGAUGAUAGAUCAACAAACCGAAUGCGGCGGUGUGUAUAGGAUAUCUGUCCGUUGUGCUGAACAAGCUACAGAGAAAUCAGGAAAUGUAUGCAACAUUUGCAUGGGAUGAACAUCAUUUUAAAAUCAGCAAAAAUCUCUACACCCAACAUUUUAACCCCAGCAGCCUCCUCAUAUGAUUUGGAGAAACUAACAGGACUGAUGAAUCCUGGGAGAUGCAGAUAAUUUUUGUGAUCCAGUAAUAUUUGCAUGGAUGCAUUUGGGAGGAAAUUAGGGGAUCAGACAGCCCCAUGAUCAUUCUGCAGGUUAGAUGGAUCCAACUACCAAUCUACCAUGCAUGCUGGGUAUGUUCAUACUUGCAAUUCCUUGCAUUUGCCAUGGAUUAUCAGCAAUGUGAAUAAAUUGUCCAGCAGAUAUUGUUGUACACUAAUCCUAGCUAGUUGAACAAAAAUGUUGGAAUAGUUGUAUGAUCAAUGCUACAGCGAAAGUAAGUUUUACAAAAUUUAAAAAUGUAUGAUAAUUGGUUAAAAAAAUAGUGAAAGUGAUUGAUAUGAUAACAAGUUUGUACUAUCAUAUACUCCCUCCUUUCCAAAAUAUAAGAAUUUCUUGGUUGUUUAGCAAGUACUAUGGUUAGGCCAAAAGAUUACUCUUUAGUUACUUUAAUUGUUAUUUUUUGAAUUUUGAAUGGAUUAGAUUCCCUUUCAAAGCAUUUGGUUGGCUCUGGAUUCAUCCAUUGAAGUUAUUUGAAUAGUGGGAAUCAGUGUAGGGAUCUCCUUACAUCGUGGUACAAAAUUUAAAUCCUAGAAAUCCUUACAUUUUGAAACAGAGAAAGUAUAUAUUAGCUAGAAAUCUUUCAUCAAUAUGGUCAGUAAUAAUGCCUUCGGUUUCAUAAGGCAUAUACAGUGCUCCAAUUAGAUGAUAUACGUACGGAGUGCGCUGUUAUACUAGUGAGCUUUCAUCAACGGCUUUAGUGAUUACAUUGUCAAUUUCAUCGAUGCAUGCUUGGGUUGGUUGGAAAUCUGUCAAUAGAAACUUUGCACAAUGCUCCAAGACUCCAACCAACAUAUAUAUCAUAUAAAGGAGUAGAUCGCUAGCAAACUCCUAUGGUCUAAACCACUAUGUAUUCCUUCCCAUGCAUCAUUAAUAGUGCAACCAGAAGCUAGAGGUGGUAGCACACCAUUGCAUCAGCUUAAAGCACAUGAGGAUAGAAGUUAACGUGAAUGUCGUAGUGUAGGAAUGAGAUGCAUCGAGAAGGAUAAGAGGAGACUCAAUUUAACACCACGGCCUAAUGAGUAUUGAUGGAUUAGUCUCCUCAGAUGCAGUGAUUGCAUAGAUAGCUUGAGACUGCAUAUUAACCAAUGCAUUUUAACUAUACAACUCUUUCCGGUUGAUCCUUUUGUAUAAAGUCAGAAUGAAAGCGCAAGGGUUCAAUGAUCAUCACCAUUUAGUUCAGUGUAAUUCAAAAGAAGACACACAACCACAGAAACACACAAGGGAUGCACCUAAUUUUCAUAAGUUUUGAACAGAGCUGUAAGUUUUAAAUAAUUUUCUAUUUGCAUGAAAACUGCAAACUAAUAUUAUAGCUCUUUUAUAUCAAAGGAACAGGUGCCAUAAGGGUUUCCACUUAUAUGAAUAUAAUGUAGAAGGUGACCACAUGACUCUUUCUUUACAAAAAAUAUGAUAGCUUAUGCCUAGCAAUUAGGGAACGUAUCAUAUGCACACAAGUCUUUUCAUGUAUACACUAUGCAUAGUAACUAGAAAAUAUCAACAAAAAUUCUAUAAAAAUUAUACAUGUACUUUUAAUAGUAUUAAAUUUAUAUCUUAAGUCCCAUCUUCAAAUUUAUUAUAACAGAUUUAUACUCUCAAAACUCAGAAUUCUUAUCUUUUUUUAUGACUAAAAUAUAAUGAAUUUGAGAUUAAGACUUCACAUAAGUGUAUUAUUAUUGGAAGUACUUGUACAAAUUUUUCUAGAUUUUUUUGGUAAAAUUUGUUAGUUGGUGUGCAUAGUAUGUACAUGAAAAGACUUUGUGCACAUGAUAUGUUCCCUAGCAUUUAUAUAUGUAUUGAAAGGGAAGUAGUUACAGGGGGGAAAAAGUUUUUCAUCAGUUAUAAAUAACCAAACACUUCGCUUUGAUUUUUACCACAACCACUUGUUUUCUUCCUUUUUCUACACCUGCAAGCACCAAAGUUGAAGCAGAUACCAUGCAGAAAUUGAACUGUUGAACCAUUACAAAAGAAUGGGAGAGGAAUCAAGACAUAAGGAGUAGAUAAUGUGGAUACAGCUUCAACUGAGCUUCAUUGGGGUUCAAUCUUGUUUUGUUUUGUGAGAAUGGGAUGCAUGGAGGAAAAGAAGACAAACCAGCACCGCAUUACCUGGAGGAUCUUAGGAGAAAUUGGUACGGCAUUUCAAACAGGAACAUCAAGCUCGAACGACAAGUGGUAAGUGAGAUAUACAAUUCUCAGCAUGGCUGGAGGGACAAGUGCAAUGUGCUGGAGGGAUCGAUGAGAGGAGAACAGAAUUGAAGUUGUCAACUGAAAUCAUCACCAAGUUUGGUUGCUGGCUGGUUCUUGUUUUAUUUUCGUUGCUAGCAAAAUGCAUGUACGUUGUUACAGAAUUUAGAAAAUCACAUCGCCACAUUGCAAAAAAAGAAAUCUAUUUUCAGUUUAGAGCCUAAUUUAGAAUUAAAUUAUAUGUUUUUUUUUCAUCUUUUUAUAUCUCAGCUAUAAAAGAUUUGAAAUGGACUCAACUAAAUCAUUAAUGCAUAACUUCCUCCCUUAAAAAGUAUUUGGUUUCGAGAGGGAUGGACAUGUGAGUUCCACGUGUUAUAGUUUGAGGGAGUUGGUGGUGGCAGACCGACCAACUUGAAACUCAAACAAGAUCAUCAUUAGUUUUAUGUGUAGCUGCUCUGAGCCUCCGUUCUCCAUGUCUCUCUUUUUGCUUUUGCCUAGUUGCUUACUUGCUUCCUAUUUACAAAAUGGCUUUCACCACUCUUUCUCAAACUAAAAGAAAGAAAUCAACUAGGAACGGUUGUACUAAGGUUGAACUGUGACAUCCUGGCUCAAUUAGGAUGAGGCAUUUGUGGCCCAUGAGAGCUAUGUGCUCAUGUUUAAUACCACCUCACUAGUUUAGCAAGAAUGGAACCAACUUAUAACGACUUGUUCCUCCAAACAUAUCACUCCCGGAUAAUCCCUUUUACAUGAAGCGAUGGUGAAAGUGUAAAUGGGUAGUAUGUAUAAGUAGGCCCACCCGUCAGAUGGGCUGGCUACGUUGUUCUAGAGGGUGGACUGUUACAAACUGAGCUCAACCACCAAUUAUACCGUUCCCAAUGUGGGACCACCAAAGAGGUAGCUAGCAAAGUACACUACCUAGGCAGCAAGAGAUCACCAGCGGCACAAGAACAGGCCUCUAGCUCAUGGCUUGAAUGUGUGAGAAUCAUAGAUUAUUUAUUUCUAAUCUAUAACAUGAUGGCUUUAGUCUAAAAUGAUCACCCUAAUUCUAAUGCGGAAUUGGAUAAUGGACGGUGUUUUGUUGACAGACAUGGAGAUGUUGUUGAUGCUAUGAAUAGUCGAUAGUUUUAAGUUGGUUAUUUAAUUUGGAUAUAGACUGACAAAUGAUUAUAUUCUUCUAAUUGAUUAAAUUCUACUUUUGGAUGGUUGAUAGGAUUAUUUACAAGUUAUUGGAAGAACUUGCAGCAUGUGGGGUAUAUGGUUAUACUACGUGACAUAUAUUCAUGAGUGGAGUUCAGAGUUUUGGCUUGUCUCCAGGCAUACAUAUACCUAGGCACAAGUCCAGCGCAAAAGCAUACAAGGAAGAUCAUAACAACAUGUUUCCCUUCUCUGGAAAAUUUUGUUGGCAACAGAUGCCUUCUCCUUCUUUCAGCUUCUGCUUCUUUAGUCAGUUUGGAGGAAGCAGCAAAUAGUUGAUGAUAUGAGAAUUCCUUCUACAUCGGCUUAGGUGUAGCAACACGACUUUAUUAUUAUUAUUAUUAUUAUUAUUAUUAUUUUACAAAAAUAUAAAAUAGAUCAGUCCCUCACCACAAGUAGAGCAAGUUGGUGAGUUAUUGUAAAGUUCUACAAAGCUAAUUUAAAAGUUAUUGCAUUAACUUAUUUCAUAUUACAAACAAGAGUGUCAAUGGAACAAUGAAAACCAUAUGACAUACUAUAAUUUUGUUUUUAUUAUUGAAAUUAUAUAAUUCAAAGAGAAUAAAUCCACAUAGCCGUAAAGUUCUACAUGUGGUGCAUUACCAAAAUAUAUAUAGCUUACAAAACAUGACAAGCUUAGUUUGAAAAAUUGCAAUCCUUAUCACAUUGACACAUAAAGUGAGUGAUGAGUCAUAAUAUUAUUUUUCUUGCUACCCAUCAUGUAUAUAUGAUAGCCACAAAGUUACUUUGAUGAUGAUAUCAAAGAACAUUUUUAGGUGCACCUAACAGAAUAUCCAAAUAAUAUGACUCACUUAGAUCAUAAUAGAGCAUCAAGUAAAACUAACACUCUAAAGCAACCGAUGGGAAAGCAUCUAUAAAUAGACAAGCACAAUGAAAAUCCUCAUCAUCCUUCACCACAAUUCAAAUAUUAUAGUUGAAGCAUAGUAGUAGAAUCCAACAACAAUGAAGAUCAUUUUCGUAUUUGCUCUCCUUGCUAUUGUUGCAUGCAAUGCCUCUGCGCGGUUUGAUCCUCUUAGUCAAAGUUAUAGGCAAUAUCAACUACAGUCGCAUCUCCUACUACAGCAACAAGUGCUCAGCCCAUGCAGUGAGUUCGUAAGGCAACAGUAUAGCAUAGUGGCAACCCCCUUCUGGCAACCAGCUACGUUUCAAUUGAUAAACAACCAAGUCAUGCAGCAGCAGUGUUGCCAACAGCUCAGGCUGGUAGCACAACAAUCUCACUACCAGGCCAUUAGUAUUGUUCAAGCGAUUGUGCAACAGCUACAACUGCAGCAAUUUAGUGGUGUCUACUUUGAUCAGACUCAAGCUCAAGCCCAAACUCUGUUGACCUUCAACUUGCCAUCCAUAUGUGGUAUCUACCCUAACUACUAUAGUGCUCCCAGGAGCAUUGCCACUGUUGGUGGUGUCUGGUACUGAAUUGUAACAAUAUAAUAGUUCGUAUGUUAAAAAUAAAGUCAUACAUCAUCAUGUGUGACUGUUGAAACUUAGGGUCAUAUAAAUCUAAAUAAAAUCAUCUUACCUAUUUAAAUAGCAUUCCUCUAUGAGGAUAAAUCCUAUUACAUUAUCGUAGCUAAUUACCAUCACAGGGACUUUACAAUUUUACUAUAUGCAUGCAUUUGAUCCUAAGCUGCUUUGGCUAUUAGAUAUAAAUGAAGUGCAUUAAGCAAGUUCAACCUUUCAUUCCCAAUAGGAACGAACUUGAAGCACAGAUGUCAAUUACUAUACCCCUAACAAUUGAUACACUAUAGCAGCGGUUGUAGCCGCAGCUGGAGGAUUCGCUGUCGAGCAGACCAUAUACCUGAAUUUAAACCAUGUCAAAUAUCCGUAAUGAAUAACAAAUAAUUUUAUAUUGUGCAUAUCCAAUGAAUAAUCAAACAUUUGCCUUUCGACUGUAAUGCUUGCAUGGCCUGCUAUUGUAUUGCUCUGGAAACACAUCUUUAACAGAUGUUGUAUUAUCACAUACAUUACAUUGGAGGAGAAGGAUUUAAGUGAUCAUAUAUAGAACAGAGGAUAUGAUGUUUUAGAAAAAAGAAGAUUAAUAAUGUCAAGAAUACUUUGUGAAACAGUGCAUGAUGCAGGCACAUCACUUGAUACAUUAAAAGCGCUGUAAAAAAUUUAUGCUGGGGAACUAAUGCACUACUACUAGCCUCACUAAUAUCAUCAGUUCGCGGUAUGUAACAAGCUAACAUUCUACACUGCACCACCCCAUCCAUUCUUGCUUUUUUCUAUAGAACACAAGAAGGAACAUCAGUAACUGGAUGCAUGUGUGCACCGCCAGCUGCCACAGUGUUGGCCAUUAUCUCUUUCUUCAAGGCAUUUCUUCCCAUCAACUCCUGCUUGACACAAGCAGGACAAAAAUGUAGCUUUGGUUAAGUCAAGGGGAGUCAGUCCAGCUAUAGAUGAACCAGCGCCCUUAUUAUUGUGAUUACUGCCCUAGCUCACACACCGGAAAUGGACUCAAAUCUUAAAGGCAUGUGAGCUUCUAACGAGCCCACAUUCCAUCUAGGUAACAUGAUAUAUUGUAAGGCUCUAUUUUUUUCAGAUUAUUAAAAUGGAUUAUUUGCUCCAUGCUUUAAAAUAUAUGUUUGCUCCAUAUUCUAAGUCAAGUAUUUUAUUUAGGGUAAUUAUUUUGAUCCUAGAGGAGACAUCCUAGGAUUUCUCUAAACAUCAUGAAAAUAGUUAUAGUAAAGAAAUUUCGUAAUAUUUAUGUGGUGUACAUAUUCCACCCUCACAAAUUAAUUUUCAAGUUAAGCUCAGUAGCAAAUCGACAAGUAAAAAAGGACAGGUCCAGCAUAUAAACGUUCAUGUGCAAUGUACAUACGAAUUUAUUUAUUUUGUUUCUCAAUGUUCAGAUCCAAUUUAAACUUGGUUUUUUCGUUGAGUAGUAAAUUGUCAUUGUACUCUAUAUUGUCAUUUUGUUAGGGAAUCUUUCAUUACUGUGUGCACUGCAUCGAAGAGAAAAAAAGGGCGUGUAAAUGCAUAUCCUCUAUUAAAAUCCGACUUCUAUAUAUUUUGCCCCAUUUUCUCUAUAAUUUCUAGUGGUUAUUGAUUGAGAACAGCUACAAAUUACUUACUAAGCACCUUUCAUGGGCACUAUAUAACUCAUGCAAUUCUUAAGGUUUACGAAUGCGAAUACAAAUAGAAAUUCGCUGUGCCGACCUGUUUUCAAAGAUUAAAAAAUUGAAACAUCAAUCAGAAACCAUUCCAGAAUGGGCCAAAAUUUGGAAAACAAAUUUUGAAUUCCAUGGAGAAAAUUAACUGGCUGGCAAUUGCACAUUUGCACUGCUUUGCCCCUAUAAACAUCUUCGAGUAGCCAUUUCAUUAUUCCCAGUAAAAUAUUAAUACUCCUUAAUCAAGAACUGCCAUAUAGGUCAUUUCUCUUGGUACUUCAGUUCGCUCAUUUAUUUCUCAUAAUUUAAAUUUCAAAGUAAUAAGCGAUAGAUCAGGAUCCAUGAUUUGAACAUGCAACUUUAAAGUAAUGCAGUAAGAUAUAGAUCGGUGUCCAUGACUUGAACAUGCAUGAACAGUAACCCCACUCGUGAGUUAAAAAGAUAGAUCCAUGAUUUAAACAUACAUUCGCAGAUAUUUGAUCAUUAUAUGUUGUAAUUAUAUUCUCAUAAAAAAAACUAAAAAUGCUUCAUAGCAUUUGUAUAUUAUGCCAAUAUUGAGAUAAUUUCGAUAUCUCAUAUGUUUUAGAUUGGAACAGAUCACGAAAGUUUUUCUUCGAAAAGUUAUGGUCAUUAGGACAUGAUGGAUUUGAGGUAACAAAAUAGAUGAGAUUUAUUAAAACCCUUGAAAUAGUCCAACAAUCCAGCGCUAACAUUUAGCACAGUGUAAUUCAAAAGAAGACAACCACAGAAACACACAGGGGAUGUUUUAAACUCCAAUUUUUAUAUAUUUGGCAUUAUUCAAAUUGCAAACAAAUAUGAUGACUCUCUUUCUCAAAGAAACAUAUGCCGUUAGGGUGAUCCCAGCGCUUCACUUAGAAUGGUUUUUCAUAGCAUUAAAUGAUAUGCCACGUAGGAAAAAACAUGAUGUGCCAUUUUAUUAACUUAGGAAAGAGAAGAAAAUUGGGUCUUCUCAAAAUGAUCAUCAUCUAACAAAAUGUCUCUUUGUUUAUUUGUGCAAAGAGUAAAUGUGCAUCGUGCAAUGUCAUGCAUGCUGCCAACCAAGAUUAAUUUCUAUUUAGUUGAACCUGUGCAACAUUUAAAGUGUGAAGUAAUUUUUGUUGGACUUGAAGCGACAAAGCACCUUGGUCGAUUAGGCCAUCCCCAACCCAUGGUGUCCAUGGGUGGUGUCUAGAGCAGUGAGAGAUCAAUAAAUGCAUAUAUGGACACUACCUCCCCAUUGCAUCGUUUAUAUACCAGUUUUCAUAGGCAAAAAAAAAUUAGUAGCUCUUUGCAUGUAACAUUAACAGAGGAGGGUCAGCUGUGGCAAGCAAGCAAGCAGACGCGGGAGGGGAGGCGCGCAGCAGGCAUGGUGACGGGGUAGGGCGCAGCGGAUCGAGAUGCGAGGAUUUUUUUUUGGGGGGGUGGGGUGGGGGGAGAGAAACGAGUCAUCCAACCCAACGCGGAUUUAGCUAGUUUCCAGUGCCUUGGAACAGCCGCCGAAACGGUGUCGCGCAUGCGACCUGGUUUCUAUGUUUUUGCUUCUUUCUCUUCUUUUAUUCCGUUGCCACAUCAACUUUUUGUCUAGUUGGCAGCCUAAUUAAUUCUAUGGAAACCAGGUGACAUGGAGGGUUGGGGACAUGGUGGAAAAAACCGGAACGGGCCGACAGUUCAACCGGAAAAAACCAGAACCCGUUCAGUUCAAAAGAAAGACCGGACAUGCAUAUGACCCGCUUUGAACCGGCAGAACCGGUCGGUUUUUCUAUGAACCGGUCAUUAAACCGUCCCCGGUUAGACCGAACAAGCCACAAUAAUCUUGAAAUGGGCCUUGAUGUGGCCCAAUUGGUCUGCCUAGAGCGUUUUGGUUGGCAAAAAUCAAUCUCCUAUUCUCGGCACGUGUGAUAUACAAUGGUAAGUGAGAUAUACAAUUCUCGGCACGGCUACAUUACAAGGUGUCGCAUUGUGUCAAUGUUUGGUUAAUUUGCUAGAUUCACAUAAUACAUGCCAGGAAGUUCAGAACAAUGUGUUGCCUUUCACCGGAAAACUUUGUUGGAGCAAAUGCCUUCUUCUUUUUUGCUUCUGCUUCUUGAGUCCAUGUGGAGGAAGCAGUAGAUAGCUGAUGAUAUCAGGAUUCCUUCUGUGUCUGUGUAGGUGUAGCAACACCACUAUAAUUUUUAUUUAGCAACACAAUAUCAAUUUGGUCUAUAAAAGUAUGAAUUAAAUCAAUCCCCAACCACAAUUAGAGUAAGUUGGUGAGUUAUUGUAAAGCUCUGCAAAGUUAAUUUAAAAGUUAUUGCAUUAACUUAUUUCGUAUCACAAACAAGUUUUCACAAGAGUAUUAAUGGAACAAUGAAAACCAUUGAACAUACUAUAAUUUUUUUUCUUACUGAAAUUAUAUAAUUCAAAGAGCAUAAACCCACACAGUCGUAAAGUUCCACGUGUAGUGCAUUAUCAAAAUAAUAGCUUACAAAACAUAACAAACUUAGUUUCAAAAGUUGCAAUCCUUAUCACAUUGACACAUAAAGUGAGCGAUGAGUCAUGUCAUUAUUUUUUUGCUCACCAUCAUGUAUAUAUGAUGGGCAUAAAAGUUACUUUGAUGAUGAUAUCAAAGAACAUUUUUAGGUGCACCUAACAGAAUAUCCAAAUAAUAUGACUCACUUAGAUCCUAAUAUAGCAUCAAGCAAAACUAACACUCUAAAGCAACCGAUAGGGAAACAUCUAUAAAUAGACAAGCAUAAUGAAAACCCUCCUCAUCCUUCACACAAUUCAAACAUUAUAGUUGAAGCAUAGUAGUAGAAUCCUACAAAAAUGAAGAUCAUUUUCGUAUUUGCUCUCCUUGCUAUUGUUGCAUGCAACGCUUCUGCACGGUUUGAUGCUCUUAGUCAAAGUUAUAGACAAUAUCAACUACAAUCGCAUCUCCUGCUACAGCAACAAGUGCUCAGCCCAUGCAGUGAGUUCGUAAGGCAACAGCAUAGCAUAGUGGCAACCCCCUUCUGGCAACCAGCUACGUUUCAAUUGAUAAACAACCAAGUCAUGCAGCAACAGUGUUGCCAACAGCUCAGGCUGGUAGCGCAACAAUCUCACUACCAGGCCAUUAGUAGCGUUCAGGCGAUUGUGCAGCAACUACAGCUGCAGCAGGUCGGUGUUGUCUACUUUGAUCAGACUCAAGCUCAAGCUCAAGCUUUGCUGGCCUUAAACUUGCCAUCCAUAUGUGGUAUCUAUCCUAACUACUACAUUGCUCCGAGGAGCAUUCCCACCGUUGGUGGUGUCUGGUACUGAAUUGUAAUAGUAUAAUGGUUCAAAUGUUAAAAAUAAAGUCAUGCAUCAUCAUGCGUGACAGUUGAAACUUGAUGUCAUAUAAAUCUAAAUAAAAUCACCUAUUUAAAUAGCAUUCAUGUAUGAGGUUGCAUUAUCAUAGCUAAUUACCAUCACAAAGAACUUUACAAUUACUAUGUGCAUGCAUUUGAUCCUAAGCUACUUUGGCUAUUAGAUACAAAUGGAGUGUAUUAAGCAAGUCCAACUUUUCAUUCUAAUAGGAACAAACUUGAAGCACAUAUGUCAAUUACUAUAUCCCCAACAAUUGAUACACUAUAGCAGUGGUUGCAAUGGCAGCUGCAGGAAUUGCUAGUGAACCCAACAGCCCAUAUAACUGAAUUGAAGCCAUGUCAGACAUCCGUAAUGAACAACAAAUAAUUCCAAAUAGUGCAUAACCAAUAAAUACUUAAAGAUUUGUCUUUCAACACUAAUGUUUGCAUUUCAUGCAAUUGUAUUGCUCUGGAAGCACCUUUUAACAGGUUGUAUCAUCACAUGCAUUACAUUGGAGGAUAAGGAUAUAAGAGAUCAUAUAUAGAAUAGAGGAUAUGGUGUUUUAGAAAAAGAAGAUGAAGAAUAUACAUUGUGAAACAGUGCAUGAUAUAGGCACAUCACUUAAUACAUUAAAAGCACUGCCAGAAAUCUAUGUUGGUGAACAAAUGCUCACUGGUUGUCUCACUUAUAUCACCAUUCACCAAGUUCACCGUAUGUAACAAGCACUUGGCCCCAUGGUUCCCCUUACCGUUUUUGACGCGGUUACCACAUGGUUACCGCAAAAAACCGUGUGGUAACCGUGAGACAUACCGUGGUUUCAAAAACUAAAAAGGUUACCGCGUGUGAUAGCCGCGCAGUUUUGUAAACCCUGCUUGGCCCUACACCACCCCAGCCAUUAAUUCUUGUCCUUCUCUGUACAACGCAACGAGGAAAUACAUCAUGGGCAUAGGGAAUAAUUAGCAAGUUUAGCAAAAAUGAAUGGCACAAUUGUAUAGCAUGAGUGAUGAUGCAAUGAGGAAACAUAAGAACAUCAGCCAGGUGUUUCUCCCCCUCAACUCCUGCUUGUCCCAAGCAAAACAAAAAUGUAGCUUUGGUUCAGUCAAGGCGAGUCAGUCCAGCUAGAGAUUAACCACCUUAUUAUUACUAUUUUUUUAUUAUUACUACCCUAGCUUACCCAAAAAAAUGAACAUUUUUCAUUUUUAAUUUUAAAAAUAAAUCCAUCCAAAACUUAUUUUCAAGAUUUGAACAUUUGACCACGCCAACUAAACUGGCGUGUCAAAACAAUACCGUCAUGCCACUCCCGCUGGUCACACCGGCGGGGACCGACCUCACUGGUAGGGGUGGACAAAAAAGCUUGGGCUCGUGAGCUCGGCUCAAGCUUGGCUUGGGCUCGCAUAGCUCGGCUCGGCUCGAAAGCCAAACGAGCCAAGCCCAAGCCUCCUUCCUACCUCGUUUCCGAAACGACCCAAGCCCGAGCUGGCUCACGAGCCACUCGUGAGCUCGCUUGGCUUGGUACAAUAGGGUCAUAUGCAAAAAAAAAUUACACCUUUUCUAACUAUUUAUUUGUUGAAAAUUAUAACUUUGAUUGUCAUAUUAUCUAUUUAUGUGUUGUGAUGACAUAUUAAAGAAAAAUAUCGCUUUAUUACACAUUCUAUGUGGUAAAAUAUUGCUCAAUUUCUCCUAGUCUUGCUUGAGAUUUACUUGAUGCCAGGCUCGCUUGGCUCGGUACAAUAGGGUCAUAUGCAAAAAAAAUUACACCUUUUCUAACUAUUUAUUUGUUGAAAAUUAUAACUUUGAUUGUCAUAUUAUCUAUUUAUAUGUUGUGAUGACAUAUUAAAGAAAAAUAUCACUUUAUUACACAUUCUAUGUGGUAAAAUAUUGCUCAAUUUCUCUUAGUCCUGCUUGAGAUUUACUUGAUGCCAGGCUCGCGAGCUAGCUCGAGCUGGCUCGAGCCCAUAAACGAGCCGAGCCGAGCUGCAGUUUUAGCUCGUUGUUUGUAGCGAGCCAAGCCAAGCCGAGGUUCCCUUGCACCAAGCUUUCAUGAUUCCACCCCUACUCACUGGUGUGGCAGCGUUAUUUGGCCACGCGUGGCAGGAUAAAACCGUCACGUCCGCUACAGGUGGUGUGCCAGUGUCAUCUUGUCACACUAGAUGAGCUAGUGUGCCUAAAAGGUUCAAAUUUUAGAAAUAAUUUUGAAAGGGUUUGUUUUUAAAAUUUAAAAUUAAAAAGGUUCAAAAAAUUAAAAAAAAUCCCUAGCUUACACACCGGAAAUGAACUAGAAACUUAAAGGCAUGUGAGCUUCUAACGAGCACACGUUCCAUUAGGUAAUCUGGCAUAUGUGACAUAUAGUAAGGGCUCUAUUUUUUUAAUUAUUUGCUGGAUUAUUAAAAUAGAUUAUUUUCACCCAUCCCAUAGCUGGUGAAAACAUUCCCCACGCUGUUCCGAAUAACAAUGCCGACGCUACCAAUUUAUUUUCACCCAUCCCAUAGCUGGUGCCUGCCACACACCUGCCACUUGGGUUCUUUCCCCGCACCCAUUCACAUCACUUUGUCUUCCCUCCGACACAAUUUUUCCUUUCUCAUUUUCCAGCGUUGCACUGCCAGACGGGCACAAGGAAUUCCAUAGAUUCAGAAGGAAAGAUGCAGAGCCCUUUACCGUCGCUUGCCCAGAACCGAAGACACAGUCAUUACGCAGGUACCAAGCUCGCCAUAGGACAAGGAGAAACUGCGCCCGCUCGUUUUCGCUCAGCUUAUCGAGUCCCCCAAGAAGCCACCCUGGGCCUAGCUUCGACAGGGAACGCUUAUCCGGUAACCUCCAGCUCGCCCGCAGAGUUUCACGGAGGGCCCUUGGCCGGGUACAUGAAAUCACCGCGUGAAACUCGUCUUCCUCCCCCUGGCCGCAGAUAGUACAGGUCGCAACUGCUUGCAGCUUUCGUUUACACCUGUUCUUCUGGGUAGCCAGAUAAUUUCGGGCUAGACGCCAGGCGAAAAUACGGACCUUUGGUGGCACAGGUGUACUCCAAAUUCUUCGCCAGAUGGAGCGAUCACCGUCCGUUUCUCUACUACUGCCUUCUCCAUCCGGAUGGAACUUGUUCAGCCACGCUAAACGAUAAGCAGACCUCACCGAGAAAAUCCCUGAUUUUUCGUAGUGCCAAGCUAGGAAAUCCUCAUCCUGGUAUGGCGACAAAUUGAUUUUCAGGAUCUCUUCCACAUCAAGUGGGUGACAGACGUGCUUGAUCAGAUCAACGUCCCAGCUCUUUUCCCCUUGUUUCAGCAGCUGCGAGACCCAGCGAAGACGGCAGCGUCCGCUCCUUCCCAUAAGCAUGAGAGAGGAGGCUCGGGGAAUCCAUUUAUCCCGCCAAAUCCUGACCUUGGUCCCAUCCCCAAUUCGCCAUAUAAGUCCUGUCUUCAGCAACUGCAACCCAUGUUCAAUCCCUUUCCAUGUCGGAGACGCUUCAGCCGGGAAGACCGCAUCUACUAGUUCACAAUUAGGAUAAUACUUAGCUUUUAAUUAGGAUAUAUAUAUGUAUAUAUAUAUAUGUAUAUAUUGUAAUAUUCCAGUAUUCCACCCCCCCCCCCCCCCCCAACCCCAAAACAACAAAUCAGUUUUCAAGUUAAGCUCACUAGCAAAUCGACAAAAAAAAAAAGGGCAGUCCAGCAUAUAUAUAUAAACGUUCAUGCACAAUGUACAUGUACAUACGAAUUUAUUAGUUCUUUUUCUCAAUGUUCAGAUAAGUUUUGUUGAGUGAUAAAUAAUCACUGUACACUAUAUUGUUAUUUUUUUAAGGAAAUCUUUCAUCAUUGUUUGUACUGCAUCGAAGAGAAAAAUGGGUGUGUAAAUGCACAUUCUCUCGCGAGAGAUUAAAAUCCAUCUUCUAUUUUGCCUUUUUUUUCUCUAUAAUUUCUAGUGGAUAUCGAUUGAGAACAGCUAGAAAUUACUUAUAAGCAUAUUUUUCAUGGAUUCUAUUUAAGAUACAAAACUACUACACAUGGGUACAUGCUAACCAAGGUUUACAAAUGCAAAAGCGAAUAGAAAUUUGCUGUGCCGAGCUGUUUUUCAAAAAGAUUAUAUUCUUUUCUCCCAAAGAUGAAGAUGAAGAUUAAUUUUUUUCGUAAAACGAGGUGAUAUUAGCAUAUGAUUGAUUGAGUUUUAAUUAUAACAAACUUGAAAAUAGAUUAAUAUAAUAUUUUAGAACAACUUUCAUAUAGAAAGUUUCCACACGAAACGUACAGUUUAGCAGUUUGAAAAGCUUGCUACAAAAAUCUUAAUCUUCAUCCAACAAGAAGAACGGAACCUAAACGAUAGAUCUGAAUCCAUGACUUGAACAUGCAUGAACAGUACGGUGAGUUAAAGAGAUACAUUUCGAUCCAUGAUUUAAACAUACAUACAUAACUGGGUGCAGAUAUUUGGUCAUUAUUUAUUGUAUUUGUAAUUAUAUACGUACUCAUAAAAAUUAUUAAGAACGCAGUAAAUUCAUAAAAUUAAGCAGUUUUCAUGGCGAAUCUAAUAACAUUAUUUUCACAUAUAACAUUCGGAUAUUUUGCCUAUCAUGAGAUAGUUCGUAUAUCUAAAUUAAUCCCCAACGAUUUUCUAGCAGUGAUUCAGAUAUCACAGGCUAAUCUCGUAAUACAUAAAGAUGAUUAUGUUCAAAACAUGAUUUAGGUUAAAAAAAUUCCAAGCGAAUCCGUAAACUAUAUUCAUGUUUCAGAUAGCCGGCCUUUGGUUGAUUAUGAAAAACGAUUAUAUUAUUCACAUUUUAAAUAGUUUUGUGCUAUAGACAUGUAUAUGAAAGACAAAACGAGUUAAAGAAAACUUUUUUAGAAAAAAGAAACUGUGUGACCACGAUCUUGAUACAGGAAAAGUUUGAAUUAGUAUGUUCAAUUCUGUUCAUGUACAUUUGCUAUAUAUAUUAUUGCCUUCAUUUGCAAUUAUACUGAAUACUCGCUCGAGGAAUAAAUCGGUACAUGUACGCAUGCCUCUCAAUAAUUUGAAUGUGAAUUUGAGAGUACGUAGUUCAUCUCAUCAUAAUCAUCCACACCCAAAUAAAUUACUACAUUCCGAUUACUCAUAAAUAAUAGGUAAAACUAAUUUCAAUUUGACUUGAUUUCAUCAAUGGAUCUUCAAAUCAAAUCAAAUUUCAAACCCAUCCAUCAGCAGUUACCAAUCCUGCCAUCCCCGGCAUCGGUGAAGAACCUCUUCCAGAACCAAUGGCGGCGCCACACCGUGUCGACCAUCUCGUCGAUGGGCACCCCCUUCGUCUCCGGCAGCAGCCAGAAGACGAAGGCGGCCAUGAUAACGAUCCAGAUAGCGAAGAAGAAGAAGAUGAAGGCCUUCAUACUGCACAUCAUGGAGAGGAAGGCCUGCGCGAUGAGGAAGGUGAAGAGCAUGUUGGAGCUCACGGCGAAGGAGAACCCCGUCGUCCUCGUCGCCAGGGGGAAUGUCUCCGACGGGAUUAGCCACCCCAGGGGCCCCCACGACCACGCGAAGCUCGAGACGUAGACGCAGAUGAGCACCACGAUCGCCACCGCCCACUUCUCGCCCGGAUUGCCGUUCGCCUUCACGUGUUCCCACAUGAUCGCCCCCACCGCUGUCUGCCAUGGAUCUUUCAUGUUAGUUUGUAGAACUAAAGGAACGCGAAUGCUAAGAAAUGACCUAAUAUCAGAUAAUUAGAAGGGGUGAGGCUUCGAAUACAGGUCGUCCCCACCAUCUUGCGGAGCUAGCCGGAAAACCUCUUGCCGUUUUUUGGGUUUCUCGAACUGGGAGAGGACUUAUGUAAAAGUUUAUAUUAAAAAUUAAUAUAUGUUUCAAAAUUUAAAUGUGUAGUGUAUUUAAAAGGAAGUUAUAGUAAAAUUAUAUAAUAAAAAGAUAUAUUUAAGUGCAUCAUAUAUUUAAAAAGAAAAGGUAACAUAAACAUGUACUCCCUCCGUUUUUUUAAUAGAUGACGCCGUUGACUUUUUCUCACAUGUUUGACCAUUCGUCUUAUUUAAAAAAUUUACGUAAUUAUAAUUUAUUUUGUUUUGGGUUGUUUUAUCACUCACAGUACUUUAAGUGUGAUUUAUAUUUUAUACAUUUGCAUAAAAUUUUUGAAUAAGACGAAUGGUCAAACAUGUAAGAAAAAAUUAAUGGCGUCAUCUAUUAAAAAACGGAGGUAGUAGAAAAAACUAUAUUUUAAAAGCCAACUGUGUUAUAUAUUUAGAAAUAGAGAUAUAUAUACAAAUAUGUAAUAUGUUUAAAGGCUAAAUUGCUUCGUGUGUAAUAUAUGUAAUAUAUUACCUGUGCGAUGAGCAUUUGGCCGCAGGCCUGGAGGAGGAGCCUGCGGCGGCCGAUCUUGUCGACGGCGACGAUGGAGACGAGCGUGGAGACGACGUUGACGCCGCCGGUGACGACGGCGGAGAGCAGCGACCCGUUGCUCUUGAACCCCAUGGUCUGGAAUAGCACGGGCGCGUAGAACAUGAUGGCGUUGAUCCCCGUGAACUGCUGGAACACCUGCAUCGCCACCGCGAUCACCAGCGGCGGCCUCGACUCCCGCCGCCGCAGCCUCCGGUACGCCGACUCCUCCGCGCUCAGCGCCGCCGCCGCCUCGCAUGCGCGCGCGAUCUCGUCCAGCUCGUCGCCGACGUCGCGCGUGCCGCGGAUCCUCUCCAGCGUGGCGCGCCCGGCGUCGCGCCGCCCGCGCUCCACGAGGCUCGUCGGCGUCUCGGUGAUCACCAGCGAGCCCAGGAACAGCACCGCCGCGGGCACUCCGGCGCCGCCGAGGGAGUACCUCCACCCGGUGCUCGGGUGGGCGCUCGAGGUGAAGUAGUUGACGACGUUGGCGAUGAGGAUGCCGAUGGUGACGUCGAGCUGGAAGAGGAUGUUGAGCGCGCCGCGGAUGUGCGCCGGCGCGAUCUCCGACAGGAACAGCGGCGCCGCCUGGUUGCCGAACCCGACGCCGACGCCGAGGCAGAUCCUCCCCACGAUCAGCAUCGCCAGGUUCGCCGCGCCGGCGCACAGCGCCGUCCCGCCGAGGAAGAACACCGACGCGAGCUGCAUCGUGCGCCGCCGCCCCAGCCGCGUGCACAGCCUCGACGCCGCGAAGCUGGCGGCCAGCGCGGCGAGGUACAGCGACGAGGUGAACAGCUGCAGCCGCUGGUCGUCGAACUUGCAGUAGUUGUUCUCCCUCGCGCGGUGCUUCCGCGCGUACACCGACGGGAAGAACUUGAUCAGGAAGCCGUCCAUGGCGGUCACGCCGCCGGAGAUGCCGACGUCGUAGCCGAACAUGAGCCCGCUCGUCGCCGCGAUGAUGCCGCACAGCCACACGUACCACGUGAUCUUCCCCUUGAACUCCCGCCGCUCGCCGCCGCCGGCGACCUUGGCCUCGACGGCGAAACCACCCGCCAUUGAUGACGUCAACGACGACGACGAGAUCAAUCAAAUGGAGAUGAUGAGGAAGAAGAUGACCAAGAGGUGGUCGAGUAUAUAUAGAGGAUUUUAUUAAUGGAGAUAAGAUGUGGAUAAAUUGGAGUGAUCUCAUGCAUUCGCAUGCAGAUAAAAUAAAUUAAAAUUGAAUUGAAUUUGAAUUAAACUUGGUCAACGAACAGAUUAACUGAAGGGGUUUAAUUAAGCAGAUCGGAUUAGUUACUAGCUAGAACUAAUCAGGAUAGAGUUUUCCGGGGGGUUUUUUUGGGGGUUUUUUUCACACGGUGACGGUGACAUGCAUGCAGUUUAGGGGAGUUGGAUUAGUCCUUUUUUAAGGAAUUUAUAGUUGGAUUAAUGGUUAGGAGUAAUUAGGAUUAAUCGGAUCAGCCGAUCUCAACAGUGACCAGUUCUCCUGCGACAAGCCCGUUCGUUCUCUUGACACGUGGCACCAAUUCAUUCGCUCUCAAUCUAUUAAUGGUAAUUUAAUCUCCAACCCAAUCCAAAUGCAAAAAUUGAAAGAAAAAAAAACGCGUUUCUCACAAGAUGGACUGUUCCUGUGAUGACUAUUUUUGUCUCUACAGGCCGUCCUAAACUCGUAAAUAUAUUAUCUCUACCGUGUAUUUUAUUAUUUUUUUGAAAAAAAAAAGUAUGCACAAAAAUGGAUUUUGGCCAUUAAUUUAUCUCUAUUGAUUUUUGAAAAAACCUUUACAUGAUUUUUAUCUGUCGCUCUGUUCUGCUUAUGCCAAAGAUGGACGUUGUGCAAAAUUGAAUUGAUCAAGAGCAGCUUGUGCACAGUAAUUCUCUGUUGUAGUAUGCCUUUUGCCUCGAAACUGAUUAAAACAGAACCCAAAAUAAAGAGCAUGAGUUAACUAAAGAAAGUUAACCCGUAAUCUUGAUGCUAUAGCAUGCUUCAAAAUUAUACCCUCGAAUGCUAAAAAAAUAGUACUCCCUCCGUUUCAUAAUGUAAGUCAUUCUAGCAUUUCCCAUAUUUAUUUUGAUACCAAUAAAUCUAGACAUAUAUAUCUAUCUAGAUUCAUUAGCAUAAAUAUAAAUGUGGGAAAUGCUAGAAUGACUUACAUUGUGAAACUGAGAAAGUACAGGUAAUAAUCAUCACUUAUAUUUGUCGAAGAACAAUAUGAAAAGAAAGCUAUCAAGCAGGUGCCUUAUUGCAAAGUUACAAUACACACUGGCGAAUGAACUGCAAACUUAACUUAUGUGUCACUAACAACUUAGAAACGAGCAAACAAAAACCAGUCAGUUCAUCGUCUUAGACUAAAACAGGCACCCUGCAGACAAGUGCCUUGAUCAAACGGUUUUUACACGGCAAACCAACAGACGAAAAUUCACCAGUUAAACACAUUUCAGCAUCUCUUCGUACGCAUAAGAACUCUUCAAGCUUCUGAGCUUCAUCAGGUGUUUCUUUGACCGCCAUAAUGUUUCUUUCAAACUCCUCGCCUUAUCUCUGCGAAUUCACACAUAAUAUGAGCUUAGGGAAACAUUGCAGAAGAUAUUGGCCAUGUUUUAAUUGGCUGGCGAAAAUCGUAUGCUACCUGAAAUGUGGUUCUGGGAGCUCAUUCUGAGAUAGGCUUGCGAACCAAAAAGAAGUACAUCGGCGUGAAGAUUUCCUUCCUGUAGUUAAUAUAUUUGCAUUAGAACUUUGCAUGAAGUAUUAAACAGGAGAGGAAAUGGAAAAACAGACAGCUGAACUGGAAUUCCAGAAUUCGUGACAAUUAUGUUGCUUUUCUGAUUCCUGGUGCUGAAAUAUGAAUCAGAGACAGACUUACUUGCCACCUUCGACGAGACCUUCAGCUGCCUUCUCUAAAAAGUUAGAUACCCUUUCACUUCCUUGUGGGGCAAGGCCGACGUAUUCCAAUGCCUUCACCUAAAAAAUAACAGAAGAGGAUCUCAAUUCCAUUUCCAUGCGAAUCAAGAGUGAAUAUAUACCAUGAUUAAAUCAGGCUGUUAUGGCCAGUUACAGUGGACAAAGCAGCCUGAUCUUUGAAUAUUCAGUGUAACAAAGUUUUGAUCGAAUUUACCAUACAAGCAAUUUAGCACAUCUGCUGAGCAGAUUAUGUCAAGUCUACCCGAAAUUUGAUACUUCUAGAAAAAAAAUAGUAUAGUACUUUUAAACUUUGCUAGCUAUUAGUAUAAUUGUUUGUUUUAUUUAUUGUAAAUGUCCAAAGAAUGACUUUUCUAGCUAGCCCUGGUAGAACUUCUAUAGGUUUUCAUGUUACAUAAACUAUUACAUGAACCAUUGUUCUCAAAACCACUUUUAAAGGCAGCAGGGAACCUAAAACUUCAUUAAUUAUUUUCCACCACAAGAUUGGUGUGCCCCCGAAUGUUCAUUGGUAUUAGGCCACAUGUCACUGAAACAAUGGAGUGGCACUAAAAUGCACCCUCUUUGGGAUGCCAACUCCUCAAUUUUAAGCUUUUUUCUGUUCAGAGGGAGGAAUUUGAUAAGAAAGAAUGUCUAUAGUACGCUUUACUCCAAGGGACAAAUCAAACUUGAUUUCACUGUGCAUCUUGAACAAUCAACUCAGAACAUAAGGUGUAGCAACAAUAAAGAAUGACUACAGAUGUAUCUGUUGGCCUUACCAUUGUGCGAGUAAUUGCACGCCCCACAGUAGUCAGACGGAAGCUACUCAAGGAAAACCGGCUUGGAUCCAAGGGCAGGUACCAAGGAACCGGGGAAUCUUCAGCAAGGUCUUUAUCCCAAAUAACCUUCACAGAAAAAAAAAUUAUGCCCAUGGGAAAGGAAUAACAAAUAACAGAAGUGUUCAUGAAACUGUGCUGCUUUGAAAGAAAACUGCUGUAACUGGCCAGAGUUUCUAAACUAACAAUAGAGGUGGGCUACUCUUCCAGCCAUGGGUUUUCCUCAGGUAAACCCAAACACACAAUCAAACAAAAGAGAGGUAAAGCACAGCGUCUACAUUACCUCAAACCCAGCAUCUUUUGCAGCUUGAAGACAUUGUUGAGUGCUUCGGAUAUCUGGCAGGCCAUUGCCAAGCUCGAUUUCAUCCUUGAUCCUCUUGUGUGUUGCAUUGUUCGGUUCAUAGUGAUCAGUAAUACACCACUCAUACACAGCAAAACACUGGCCAGGCUUCAAUACACGAUAGAUCUCCUUAUAGCAGCCAACCUUUGACAUGAAAAAACCAAUUGACUUUGUGUCGCAAGGAGGGAUUAAAGUUGAUGAUGAGUUUUAAUAUACAAGCAAUAAUUUGCAAUCAUACCGGAUCAGGUGCGUGGCAUGUUGCCUCAAUGGCAUAGACAGCAUCAAAAGUGUUAUCAGAAAACGGCAUCUUCAUGAAGUCUGCCUGUAUAGAGACCAAUAUGUAGAAUGUAACUGUUUGUCCUUCAGCUUAUAUAUAUUGUCAAAUAAGUCUUCUCUGUACAGCUAAGCAAGUGCAGAGAGUCUACGCAAGGUAAUUUGCAAUAUGUGAUGGUUGCUGGAAAGGGAUAAAUAACAUUUGCACAGAGAUGCAGCUGCAAAUAGAUGAUUGACUACUAAAAGAUGGGGGAAAGAGGCAAAGAGCCAAAAAGAAUGUCUAUUUUAGCUAACUAUACCUUCACAAAGUCGCAAGUUCCACUAACUCCUGCUACCCGAUUAAGCUCCUGGAUAUUAAAACAAAAAUCUUAUGUCAACACAGGAGUAAUGUGAUGAACAGCAAACGCUGAAAACUGUUUACUAAUCUGAAGUUCUUAACCAUAUGCAGAAGUAGAGUAAAUCAAAUUAAGUAAGGGAACAUCAAUUAACCUUUCCCCUAGUUAUCUGGUACUCAUUGUUGUUCAAUCCAGUGACUGAAGCCAAGCUGCAGGAAACAGCAGAUCAUGGCCACAUUAGUCAUCUCUAGUUCAUAAUCCAUAGUGAGGGGAAAAAAAGAGAAGUUUCCACACUUUUGAGGACAGUAUUUUAGCAGAAAAUGGAUCAUCAACACUGAUAUUUGGGAAAAAGAAAUGCCCUAAGUAAACAAUGAGCUCAAUGCCAUCUUCACCCAAAAAAAUAACAUAUAAUGAGGAAGUACAGGGUUGAUACUUAACGACGUUGUCCUGGCACCAUUAUCCAAGAUCAAUUUACCACACGUUUAAUUUUUAAAUGUCAAAUAUUUAUUAUGCAUAUUAAAAUUUCUGGCCCAAACACAUUACAAGCAAGUGGACAGAAGGCCCAUGAAUCAAACCUAAAUUUGGCAAUUUCUCUUAGUGGUCCGCCUAUUCCACAACCGACGUCCAAAACCUACAGUAGGGAAGUGAAGUUAACACUUUCAUUCUAAUGUUGUAGUGUAGAACCAGCAGGAAAUCUUUAUGAUAGGUUUAAAUAGGAAAAUUAACCUUCAUUCCUGGUUUCACUCCAAGCUGAAGGGCAAGAAAGUGCUCAUGUCGCUUAAUGCUUUCACGUAGGGAUUCUCCAUUCCAUCUAAAACAUUCAGGAACAUGACAAGUUUCUGUCACUAGAUGUCAGGUAAUAUGCAAAACUUCAACUACGUUCUCGUAUUUCAUUACAAUGAGCACAGAUGAUCUCUCUAAAACCCUCACCUGUGAGCAAAGUGGAAGGAUUCACCCCAACCAUACUCAUAGAAGCUGGUGGCAAGAUCAUAGUAUUUAUUAACCUGAUAAGGCAUUAAUGCAUUAGUUGCUAAUAUAAAAACUGAAAAACCCAAAAUUAUCUCCAAUUAGCAUGGGGUAAAUGGGUGAUGCAGCAAACAAAAAAUUGUCACAAACUCUAAAUUUGAAGGUUUCCUUCUUUCAAACAGAAUAAAGAGGGGUUCAAUUAGAAAUAUGUGACUAAAAUACAAUUGACAUAUAGCAUAAACAGCAGAACCUAGAAUAUGUGUACUGUCUUGCUUCAACACUCAACAUGACAAUUUAAAAAGCACAAUAUUUGAGUUGUCUUAGAUAUCUCUUUGAAUCAGUCGUGCUUAGUUAAAUUUAUAAUCUAGUCAAGAAGAACUGAAGAUUAACAGCUUUUUAUCGUGCAAAAGUUGAAGCAAAUUACAGACAAACAGUUGAAGCAAAUUAUGCAGAUAUAAUCCUUUUAACUGAGCAUCUAGAAAAUGACUUGAGUAGGAAAGCAACAAAUUUACAAAAUAAGAUAUUCACAAAAAUGUAAUAAUUCUGUCUUCUGAGAGACUAAGAUGAUUUACCAUGUCUGUGUAGUUGGACUUUCUUGCUUCUUCUUUUCCUCCAUAGUAUCCAUGGUAUUUCUCAUACCUUGCAAAACCAAUUUAUUUAAAAUAAAUAACAGUAAAAUACAGGCCAAGUUCUGAGCACAAAAAUCCUUUUUCUGAGUGUCAAUAAAAUUCUUGCUAAGCAGUUGAUAUGUUUUUUAUACAGGGUAAAUAUUGAAUGUAUUGACAAAUUCUUAAUAGAAUGUGCUAAAACUGGCAUAGAUAGAGAUAGUUUAAAAGAGGAUAAGCUUGUUUUAAUAAUUCUGUAAUGGUGCCACAGUAUGUACUCCUUUCCUUGAUUAACCAUAGAGCAUAGUUUGACCUUGCACGAGAAAUCAAGGAUUAAAGAGGUGACAAAGGUGAUGAAACAUUAGAGAAGAUGACGUGGGUGCACUCUCAUUAUUGAUUCAGAAAGAUGAGCGAGCAUACUUUGUGGCAGUAACAAAUAAAAGCAAAUGAGAAGGAGUAAAAGACAUGGGAAUGGUAGAAAAAGCUCAUAUCUUAUAUUUAUUGCUGGGUCUUUGGAAUAUUAAUGGGAGGGGAGUACAAUACGUAUGGACAAGUUGGCAUGGCUUGAAGUAGCCUAUAUAGUGAUGGCCUGAUGGGCGACCACAAAGCAUCACAUUCAAUACACAUGAUAAAAACCUAGUACUAUUCUAAUAAGAUGAAAUAGGUGCAAUGCAUCAGGAGUUUUCAGAUGUCCAGAACUGCUACCACCAAAAAAGAAGAAGAAAAUUUCUGGGUGCAGAACGAAAAGUCGAGCAAACAACAGUGAGAAAUUACGAAAUCAGUGAAUCUGUGCUUUCCUUGUUUAAUCUCAGUCAUACAAACUGAAUUCUGAACCCUGAACUCUGAAGAGAUGCAUUCAAGUACAGCACAGCAGACAUGCAAGUACAGUACAUCACCAGAAUCAAACCUGCAUAUCUAAAUCUAAAUCUAAAUGCCAACAAAAAUAAAAGAGAGAGAGAAAAUAAUAAUCAACCAACGCAGAGAAACAAAGAGCAGAAGAUGCUUUACUCAUCGACAGCCGACUUGACCUCAUCCUUGGUGAUCUUCCCCCCGAGUCCAGAUGCAAGAUCCAUGGCCCCAGACCUCGACAUCGCGGCGUCGAUCACCGGAGCUCCACCUGCAACCAACAGCAGCAAAGUUCCUCACGGAAAUCAGGAGCAUCCACCUCCUCACUUUCCUCCCAAAUCCGAACAAACCACACACAUAUAUAUUCCAAAAAAAAUUCAAACGGUAGUGCGAAAGGGAUGGAUAUGAUUUAUUUUCUUCACCCUUUUUUGCCCGUCCCUUUCCCCCCAACCUCUCCUCCUCAUCUUUUCACCCCCAAACAAAGAACAAAAAUACUAGCCAAUCACCCAGGCCGCAAAUGCGGUGUACCAAUCAGCCGCCGAUCAGGCCAUGGAUGGAGGAGGCCGCACGGCGAGCAGGGCCACGAUCCCGUGACGGUAGGGCGCUCCCCCCCCCCCCCUCCUCUCUCUCCCGGGGAUGGGUCUGGAACUCGAGAUCGCGACAGAGCCGAGCCGAGACGAUGCGUGCGAUAGGAGCAAUGCAUGUGCGCCGGCGAGCGGACGCGGGAGGAGGAGGACGAGGAGGGGAGGUGCUUACCGGACGGUGAGGGCGGCGGCGGCGGCGGUCGCCGGAGACGAGAACUCCGGCCGGCGAGGAGGGAGGUGGGGAGGAUGGGGUGGCUUCUCUCCCUCGCGUGGGUUUUAUCGUGGGGUUGCAUCUCGGCUCAAUAUUGAUUAUUUUUUUCUAUUUUUAUUAUAUAAAAUAAUACUCCAUCUGUCCCCCAUAUAUAUAUAUAUAUAUAUAUAUAUAUAUAUAUAUAUAUAUAUGGGGGACAGAUGGAGUAUUAUUUUAUAUAUAUAUAUAUAUAUAUAUAAAUAAAUAAAAGAACCUGAUACUGGAUGGGAUAAUCCCUAGUUAAGUUUUUUAAGAUAAUGAUAAAACUUUCAGUAUCUAAACUAACUAGACUUGCACGCUAAAAUACCUGGAUUUGAACGAAUUAUUAUGGAGUGGCUACUUAAGCCCGGUUUCACGUAUUGAUAGGAGUAUGAAGUUUGUGUGUUAAAUUAUAUUUGUUCUAAAAUUUUGGAUUUCAUCUAAAUAAUAGGAAAAUAAUGAUUUAUUUAAAUGUUAUUAAUAUAAUCGUGAAUCCAGAUCUAACGAUUUAUGAAGUUACGAAUAUCAGUUUCAAAAAAUUUUGGAUCUAGAGCUACGUGCCUAUGUCGAAGAGGGCCCUAAUUUAUGGUUUCUAAUUUUAUUUUCUUCUAUUAUAUGAAAGAUAUAUGGCACAUCCUACUUCAAAUAUGUCUUUUAACACAUGUUAAAAAAGACAAAGGCUAAUAAAAUGCUCUAACAUCACUGAAAACUUUUAAAAGCGUGCUUUUAUCGUAGAGGAGAUGGUAAUAAAUAAAGUUUUUGAGAAAAUAAGUCCAAGCAUGCAAAUUUGUGCAUCAUCAUUCUUCUUCAACUACGAAAUACUUCCUCUAUCUCAUAAUAAGUUUAUUUUUAGCUCAUUUUAUUUGUUUUAAAAUAAAUUUAAUUUUAGAGUAACCAUUGCAUCGGAGUUUGUGAAAGUAGCGAACAAUUGUACUCCAUUUGAAGUAGAUAAAAUCGGAAAUGGUUACAUUGAGAUUUGAUAAAUUAAGGGUUUGUUAGGCAUAGCUCUAGCUCUAUCUCUCCUGAAAUUAUAGUCCAAUCAAACGGUUUCAGUUUCACCCAAAAUGCGAGCGGAGUUGGUUGAAAUACUUUUACAAAAUGAACUAGAGAUGUGAAACUGGGUUUAGGCAGCUCCACCUCCACAACUCCAUUUCAAACCCUAACUCCUAAAGUUAAAUUUAAGAUAUUGAGCCCUAUCAAAUGAGAAGUUAAAUUUAUAAGUUAGAGGCCUACCAAAUAGAAUGCGUGUUUGGUAGGGCUCCAACUCUCAAAUUUAACUCUAUGAGUUGGGGUUUAGAGUGGAGCUGUCUAAACCUAGCUCCACCUUUUUAGUUCAUUUAUAGAGCAUUUUUGUCAGCUUCACUUCUUUUUGAAUAAAGCUAAAAUUAUUUGGUUGGACUCUAGCUUCAGGAAAAAUGGAGCUAGAGCAAACCAAAUAGUUCAUAUAUGUUCUUGGCAGCUCUUUAGCUUACAAGCUUCAGCUAUAUUUAAAAUAUAAAGGUUGGUUUAAAGUUAUUUCAACUUUCUUCCGUUGUUUUCUAUUUUUCAGCAUCAUAUCAACUCAAGUCGUUAAAAGUAAAAGUAUAAAAUCCUAGAGCCCUAUACAAUUAUUUUCAUUGUUUGGGUCCCGCAUCAUAGCUUAUAUAGCCACACUAAAAAUCUCAGCGAAGGAAAAAAAAAGAAAGAAAAGAAAAACAUGCACAUCGACGAUGAACUGUCACCGUAGAGCCUAGUAGAGCAUUAUAUAGCUUCAUCUAAUUCUAAUAAGGUGCAAGAUAGUGUUUGCGAUAGAUUAAGAUGAAGAUAAAGUAGAGCUGAAAAAACUAGAAAAUUAUUAGCGCAUAACUAAUUAAGUUUAAAUAUUAUAAAUUUAAAAAAUAGAUUUGUUCGAUAUUUCAAAGCAACUUACACAUAGACAUUAUUUAGCAAUUUAAAAAACAUGUUAAUAAAAAUUAAGUUAAAAUUUAUAUGUUAAUUCGAAAAUAAUGUGCACGGUCAAGUACUUAGCUUAAAAAAGGUAACCAGCUAGUACUAGCAGGGAGAAACAGUGUCCAGCUGCUGCUGCGGCAAGAGCCUGGAAUGAGGUGGAUCCUGCCAAGCCAGCAUUUUGAAGACAUCAUAGCUAGGCUGUCGUGCGUCCAAAAAUAUAGCAAUGUUGGCGAAAUAAAAUAGUCACAAACCAACAACAUAGCGCCAUAGCGAUAUAUUAGGCGUUCAAAAAUAUAGCUUCCCUACCAACUCAUUAAUCCCUUGGUUCUAGAUUUAAUACGGAUACUUAUAUUUAUAACUAACUUUUUUUUAUGGUAGGUAACGUACCUGUCUUCUGAAGAUGAUUAUAGAGAUAGAGUGUGCUUAUGUACACAUUAUGAACAUCUACAUUUAUAUAUACUUUUAAAAGCACUUUAAUACACUAUAUAAUAGAGUUAUUUUUUAACCGUACGUGUAGUCGAACUGGUGAGCCAGCGAUCGAUCACUAUUUUAUCUAGAGAUGGUAACGGGGCACCACCCUAUUCACUACUCGUGACUCAUGAGCACGCAUCAAUCAGAUGAAAUUUUUACUUAUCAGAAAUUGGUAAAUUGAGUUGGAAAAAUUAAUCAAACCUAUAAAUAAAAUUCACAAUUAAACUGCAGUAAGGCCUGCCACCUUUGAAACACGAGAAUUGUUUUUAUGCCUAACGGAAUUUAACUAACUAAUUCAUCUGAAAAUAUCGUAAAAUUUGCGUGAAUAAUUAAGGAGACCGUGGCAACAAAGAUGUGCAGCUGCGUAUUCAUUUAUCAAAGAAGGAAAAACGUAAAUAGCUGAAGUUAAUUUGGUGUAAUAUAAUAUAAUAUCAAAAUAUAAUAAUUAGUAUUGGAUUGAACAUAUACCAACACUACAAAUUUAUCAUAAUAUUAUAGUUUGAAAUCGAGGGAGUACUUUGUUAACGACAAAUGGCGUAUACCAUCAGUACAGUACUAGUACUACUUAAUUCGACCGUUUGCUGACAAGGAAUUGAAGCAAAAACGACAUGAAAUCGGAGAGAGCUGACUGCACUAAUCAGAUUCACACAUAUUUUUCAUUUCUAUCGUAUCAAUCCAACUUGCAUUGAUUGCUUUUAGUUGAAGCGGUGAAUUCAUGUUUUGGUGUGUAUGAAAUCAUCAUGCAGGUAGUUGGGCGAUUUUGUGAAAAUUACGAAGAUGAUAUACGUACCAUAACGCAGUCGGAUGGCAGAUAGCGUAGUUCGUAUUCGUACAGCAGCUCUAGUAAAUUAUUUGUCCGAUUUUAAUAGUUAAGGGUAUACAAUGUCUGGCUUUCGAGUUUAUAAGGGUGUAAUUCGAUCGACCGCAAUAGUUCCAAGGGUAAAUCGUACAUUUUCCUAAUUAUAAUGAUGGUGGUAUGUGGUUUGUCCUUCAUUAGCCUUCAUCUUUCUCUGAUCUCAUCUUCGUCUCUCACGUCAAAUUAGGAUCCUCUGAUUUUGAAGUCACAACUUCUUUAUUUCUGACAUGUAAAUCCGAGUUUUUUUUGCCAUAAAAAAAGUCACAUGACAUCAACCUUAGAGGAUCAUGUGUCUCUUGCGCCACUACCGUCGUCCCUCUUCUUCCUUUACUUACCUUCACGCCUUCUCUAAAAUUAUACCGCCCAUCUUCUCAUUGCUCUUUGGCCGAAUGUGAUACUAACAAUAUUCUCCCAAUAAACUUGGAUCUUCAAGAUCUUCCUAGAUUAUUAUAGCUGCAUACUCCCUUCGUAUAAAAAACUAAUCUAGUAUAUAGUAUCGGAUGUGACAUAUCAUAAUACUGUGAAUUUAGAUAUACAUAUAUCUAAAUUUAUAGUACUAGUUUGGCUUUUUUACGAGACGAAAGUAGUAUGUAUAUAAAGAAGCAGCCGUAUGUUCCUGUUCAAAACGAGGACAAUAGAUAUAGCAGAAACAAUGGUGACACGACUACGAGCCACAUGUGCUAUGAGUGGGUCAUGGAUGUUGGCAUCAUGGUAUGGUAUAUACUUACCGCAGCUGUCACCAGAGAUGAUAAUUUCCUACUACAUUCGUUAUAAUUUAAAAUAUACUAAUAUAAUAUUAAAUUAGACAUAUUAUAAUAUUACGAAUCUAAAGUUCGGGAUAGAUAUGAUCUAUCUAAAUUUAUAAUAUUGGAAUGUGUCUAAUUUAAUAUUAAAUUACUAUAUUUUAAAAUGGAGAGAGUAAGUAGUACUACGGCUGAGGACAAAUGUAUCGGCAGAUCAGAUCAGAUCGUGAGUGCAGAGCAAAGCUAGGGUGCGACAAGGAAACCAACAAAAGAUUCUGCAUCUGUAUAUCUAUUUUAGAAAUAUAUAAGAAAGGUUCGGGUAUUUCGGUUAGCACCAUAAGGUAUGUGUGCUAACGAGUCUCGCUUCUCUUUUAAUAAAUUUGGAUAUGAGAGAUAUUUCUCUAAUAUCCAGCAUAUUUCAGAAAUACAUCACAAAUACAAUGCAAUGCUGUGCUAGCUGCUACAGCUAUCCAGAUACACAACGUACGUAUGCUGCAUGUAGCACAACCUUUGUCCUCAGGAUGGCAACAGUACCAUAUGCCAGAAAAUCAGACUGAAUUCUUCGGUGUUGCCGUCUUAGAACUUCUUUGAAAGCUACCUCUGAUGAACCUUUGUACAAAUAAAAGUUGUGGCAGAUAGGGUUUAAAAAGCGCUAGUGUGGUACCAAAUCCAAUAUAUAAGGUGCUAAUUAACAUUUACUCUCUCUUUUCCUGGAACUAGUUUUUUCCAACUACUACUCUCUCAUUUUCCACACAAGUAUAUUUCCAAACGGUUAAACAACGAUAUGUUCUUUUUUAAAAGAAAUCUAUAGGAAAGCUCCUUUACAAAAUCAUAUUAAUCCAUUAUCUAAGAAUUUUAUAACUAAUUUAAUUAAUUAUAUGUUUUUUAGAUAACUUAAACAACUUUAUUAACCAAGACAGAAAGCAGGGGAUACACCCCAAUACAUCGCAGAAGGAUACAACUUAAAGCAAAGCAAGAAGCCAUCUCUAACAAGGUAGAAGCUAACCAAUCUAAGGAAGCUAACUUCCAGAUGAGACUAAACAACAGUAGAGAAUCAGAUCGACAGAGUUCUGCGGCAAAGCCGCGACGACUGAAUCCUUGGGUCUCCAUUGACAUGCUCACCGCUUGACAGACUGGAAGGCUCCUACAGCUGUCACCACGGAAACGACACAAAUCGGAGGUUUGGUGCUGAGCCGUAGAUCUUGGUGUAGACGUCACCGGACUCAGCGAAUUGGUUCCACGGAGUCUGCCGUUAGAUAUGCUAAUGGACCAUUUUUUUCGUGCGUGGGAAAGGAGUGUUCAGACAAGCAAACGAUGCUAGCUAAUAGCAAUGUUUUCUUUCCAGAAGGUAGCAUGGGUGUCCUUAUGGGUCUUAUUCCAGUAUUUACUGUUCGAUGGCUAAGUGUCCUCAGGGAUGGGCAGUGAAAAUGCAAUUCCUAGCAACCAACAAAAUAUUUAAUUAGAUUUUUUUUCUUUGUUUCAUGUCAUUUGCUUUUUCAUUGGAAUUAUUAUUUGCUUGAUAACAUACCAAAAAAGAAAUCUAUCUAGCUACCCAAAUGAUCAAAUAUGCAACUAGCACAGACAUCAGACCUGUUGAUAUAAUUGUCUUUUAGCUUCCCUUUUUAUAUAUUUUGUUGGAGAUCUGGCUGCAACUAUCCCAUUUUCUAUGUCCAUAAUGUUUUGGUUCUGGCACUGUGCGUUACACGUGGUAUGGCAUAUCAGUUCAAUUAGAAAAUGACAACAGUACCUCUACCACUGGGACCGGGAUCCUCUCUAUCAUCAAAGGCAGAUAGCCAAAGUUUUGAUUUGGGUUAUUUGGAUAUAUUGCAUUAUAAAUUUGACGGAUUUGAAAUAGUUUGGGUCUAUGCUACAGUGCUUGAUAUCAACGGGCAAGUACUGGCAAAUUGUUUGAUUACGCUGCCGGAAUUGGAUUGUUUGAGAGGCAACCGUAACUUCACUAACUCAAACACGUGACAACUAUUAAUUUGCUGAUACUCAUAGUAGAAAUGAUUUGGACCUUCCACAUUUUCUUAUCUAACGAAACAAACCUAUUUAUGCCAUCACCAUAAUUACCAUUAGAAUUCGUGGGUUAAUAAUAUUGUUUCUACUGACAGAAGAGCAUAUGAAUCAAUGGUUUAGAUAAUCUAUGUUGAGUGUUGACAGUAUUGCUGGUAGCAGAUUUGCACCGGUGGAUGAUAGUAUUGUCUUGUCACAACAAUUUGGUUGGCGUGGUAAAAAAGUUUCAGAUUCAGAAAUAAGUUUUGAGAGGGUUUAUUUUUAAAACUAAAAAUUAAAUAGUUAAAAAGGUUUUUUAAUAAAAAAUCCACCGGUAGAUUGGUUGCAAAACUUGGCUACAAAAGCAUAGU